UUAAUAUCGAUGUUUUGCACUUAAUAGUAAUGAUUUACUUGUGUUUUACUUUUGUAGGUGCAAUUCUAUUGAUUUGUAAUAAAAUUGAGCUAUAAGAUGAUGUUUAAAGAUGAUUGUUCUCUUGGAGAAAUUAUGAGCGUCAGAAGAACUUUGUUGAUAAGGCGUGGGCGCGUGCUGUCAACUACGGACCUGCAGUUUUUAGUUUAACGUGUUUUGUAUUUUUGAUUAUUUUUGUAAUUACGAAUUUAAUAUUUCAGAUAUUAGUAUUUUAUUUUAAAUAGAAUUCUAGAGGAGAAGAGAGAGAGAGUAUUUAAGAGAGGAAUCUAUUGUGAAAAAGGGGAUUUUUGGAUUGGAGAAAAAGGAAAGAAACCCUAGAUCUAAUUUUUCUCUUCUCUCUAUGAAAAACUAAACUUAUUUUUCUGGUUGAAGGUUAAUGAAGCUUUGAUUCAUCACUACUGUGAGAUCUUUCUUAUGCUUUAAUUGUUUUAUUACUUUUUGGGUAUUUGUUUAUUCUCUGAAUUAGUUUCAUGAUUAUAUUUGUUAAUUAGGUAAUUGGCCACUAUUUAAUUAUCAACUUAAUCUAUUGUCAAUUAAAGGAUUCAUCGUAUGAAGAUUUUAAUGUUUGUGACAAAUAACAUAGCAGUGUGACAAAUAACAUAGCAGUGAGUUGUGUUAUGAGAAUAAACAAUCUAAUUUAAAUGAAUCAUCAUAUGUGUUGAUUAGGAUUUGGGUCUCUCUGGUUUUUCAGGCUGUCAAUUGAUUAAAUCAUAUGAUCGUAUCUAGGGUUGUCUAUUGAUUAGGGAAAUAUCCAACGGUCGUACCUUGGUUAUCGACUAAUUAAGGAGAGAUUGGCUAUUAGAGGGUCUCAAUAGCUAUAACCGGUCUAUUCAUAAGUAAUAAUAAUCUAUAUUUGAAUCAAUGAUCAGUAGUCGAAUCAAGCUGAGUUAAUUCCUUCAACCAGAGCUUUCUCCAAUUUGAAUUACAACUUUAAUUUGCAUUCUUGUUAUUUUUAAUUUGAUUUUUAUUAUUGUCAACAAUUCCCCCAUUUACGUUUUACGUUUCAAAAGGAUUUAAAUAAUUACCGAUCUCUAUUGACACAACCCUGCUCAAUCACUAUACACAAUUUAUUUAGAGUAGGAAUUUAUUUUUGUUGGCUUCGACAACCAUAAGCUUGAUGUGCCAAUAAAGCUCUAAUCUUAAGCCUUCACUCGUGAAAAUCAUUUUCACCUGCAAACUUCUCUACAUCAAGCUUAAAUGCAGCCAUUCUGAGGUCAAGAAUCCUGAAAAUAGCUCUAAUACCAAUCUAUUGAAUUUAAACUCAGCAAAUAACCAACUCCCCAAGAUCUACUCUUGAGUACUGUAAUCUCAGAAUUAUACAUAUGACGAUCAAGCUUAAUGCAAUUGACUCUUAAUGAUUCAAGAAUGGUAACAAGACAACAAGAACAUAAACUAAAUUACACAAUUUGACAAUAGAGAUUUAUAGUGGUUCAGCUUCAAGCAAACCUACAUCCACUAUGCAAAGAGAAGUAAGAUUUCACUAAUUUUGACUUUUUAAGGUGCAAUGUUGUAGAGAAGUGUAACAGAAUCACGAGAUUACAAUAACCACUCAUGAGGUCUUAUAUAUAGAGAGAUAUUCAUCUAGAGAGGUCCGCUACCAGCCACCUCUUGUAUUCUUGGGUUUGUUAUCAAAACCUAGAAGCUUUCCGCGCAUAUAACAAACUUAACAACCAUUUAAACUAGCUGAUGGACACAUGUCAAGGCCUCACCGAUUCUGUUAUGCAAAACGGCAAAUGUAGCUGCUGUAUUUGAUAAGUGAUGCAUGUCUCCUUGCUGACAAUACGUAAAUGACACACAUCCCUCCGAAGCUUUACAAACGAAGUGUCAUACAUGUAUGAACGACAUGUCAUACGGGUCUGGAGAAUGUAACCAACUUGUCAAUCUCGAUCAGAAACCCAUAUUUGAGCUUCAUCCUUUAGCAAAAAAUGACAAAGAAAUGGCUUAAUGGAAGCAUAUCUAAAAUGGAAAAAUCAUAGAAGAUUAUUGAUAUAAGAAAUUGAGUAUUCCUCUACUAUAUAUAUCUCUCCCACUUGGUAUCUUUGAAGCUGCAACGAAAACUAUUGUGAUUAUGAGUGCAAAAAUUAAGUAACAUGAAACUGAAGAUGGAUUAUCAAUACGUCAUGAUGAAAAAAUAGAUAAACUAUAGAGAGUUAAAACGUAAAAUAGACUAAAUUUUCAUUAAGACCAAAAUUGCUUUUGGGUUAUAAGAACCGUUGUAAAUGCCUUUGAUGGGAUCUCUCAUUGGAAUAUUUCACAACGGUGAAGUUCUUUACACUGUUGCAGAAGUAUUUCACAAUCGUGUAAAUGUCCAUCUAGCACUUUAGUACUGGUACUUAGGGUGCGUUUGGGAUUGAGGUUGGGCAGCUGUAGCUUAAAAGCUACAGCACUAAAGUGUUUGGUAAACACUAGCUGCUGUAGCUUUUAAGCUAUGUUGAUAUGAUUUUUCACUUGUAUAAUAUAAAAUUUAUUAUAUCUUUAAUAUUUUUAUCAAAAUUAUUAUUUAAAAUUUAUAUUUACUAUAUAUUAUUAACUUUUGUUUCAUAAUUACAACUUUUUUUUCACAGCAGCUGUAGCUUAAAAGCUACAGCACCUUAAUCCCAAAUGCACCCUUAGUAAACUGUAGCUUUUAAGCCAUAAUGUUAUAUUAUUACUUUACUAAGGUUAAAUAGCAAUACAUUAUUUUCUUAAAGGUAUAGGGAUUAGCAAAUCUCAAUUUAAUUUUUAAGCCAUCUAUUUUUUCCAAGAUUCAAACUUGGGUGAAUAGUCAAACAAAAUUGUUGAAAACCACUUAGCAGCAAGUGAGAACUUGGUGGUACAUAACUUUUAGCCUCUACCUUCUCAAAUUUAAACUUAAGUGGCCAACUAAAUGAAAUUACUUGAAAACCACUAGGCCAAGGCUAGGGCAAACAUAUUAUAUAUAUUCUAAGAGAACAAUCACUAUUAAAAAAAUGGUCUUUAUUGACUUUAGAAUAGUGUCAGAAAUUACUUUCACUGACACUUGUUAAUUGUGUCAGUAAUCUGGGAGUCAGAAAAAUAAUGACACUUGUAAGUGGUGUCAGUGAUUACUAUUACUACAGUAUUACCGAUAUUAUGACACUAUAGUAUUAGUAGUUAUUGAUAUUUUAUUAGUGUCUAUGAUUACUGUUACCAUGGUAUCACUAGUUAAUUUAUUUUAAAAAAAUAAAAAAUUGAAUUGGAUCAUUGCCUAUUGAUUUAUUCGGAAAAUUAAAAGGCACCACAAAAUAACAAAAAGAAAUUGAUUUAUAUCAUAAAAUCUUUCAUUUCACAUUUAAAUAUUAUUAGUAUAUAUUACAAAUUCCAAAACUUUAAUAACAUAAAUAUGAGAUAUCCUACUCUCAUAACUAAAUAAUCCAAAUUCAAUACAUAAAAAUUUCUACUAUCCAAUCAAAUGCCUACUACUUGUGGCUAAAUUUAAUAAAUCUAUAAGCUAAAUUGACAAGGAUGACUGCCUUUCACUCUUUGAAUAUGAGUAGUAUAAUUGCGUUAUCCACCAGCAGCUUCUCCAUUCAAUAGACUGUAUAGGUUAGGAUAUAAGUGAAGUUGAAGAAUAAACACUUCAAACACAUUGAUCAAAUCUGCAUAUGAAUACAUGGAAAAGGAAAAAAAAUUAGCUGCCAAUAUCGAGCCAUUAGAGAAACAACAAUUAACAGAAAUAAAAUUAUUUUGUUCGAAAGAAAAAAAUACUCAUAAGCUAUUUAUAAAUAAACUCAAUUAUUCUCUUUUGGUAAAGGUUAUAUAUAUAGCAAACUAUAGCAGACAAGAAGUUUUCAAUGUAAUAUCUACUUUCAGCACAAGCAUGUUACUCUAUCUACAUAUACCAAAUGAUUUUUGUGCAUAGUUAAAAGCUAUCACAAAUGCUCUAUUAUAAAUAAAUCACCACUCAUUUCCUCAAUUUAUUCAUUCUAAAAGCUUAUUUAACAAGGCAAAAAAUAAGUUCUCAAACUGCAGUUUCCUUAAACUGGGCAUAAAAUAACUAUGAAUCUCCAUAUUUAUAUUAGGCAUAAUAAAGCUUGGACAUAAAAUAUUUCAAUAAUUUGAGAGUUCGAUCCAAAAUUAUUACUACUAAAAGAAAUAAUAUUUGUAAACUUAGUUAAGCCUUUAUAAAGUGAGUAAGAGAUUUAUUAUACUACUUAAAUCUAUUCAUGUGAACCAUUUAAAGAAUAUCACCCUAAAUUGUAAUUAAGUAUUCAUUAAUUUUUCCUAAUUAUAAACUUUAAGAAGAUAAAAAAAAAAGUAGAAUAAAAAUAUAAUCAUUAUAUAUUUCCACUCACAAGUAAUGUUGCUUUAACUUGAUUGACAUCAUAACCCAAAAAUCGCUUUAAACAUUAGCUCAUGAAAUAAUGGAUAAUAUUACUUACGAGAAAUUACUAGUUCUCCAAACUGGUACAGACCUCAGAAAUGGGAUGGUCCCCCACAUUAAUGCCAUCCUGCAUGCCAUAAACGGGACUUCAGGUUUUGUGCAAAAUCUCUUUAGGAGAAAUUGUUUUUGAAGAUAAACAGUUUGUCAAUACCAGCAGUGGUUUUCAUACAAUGAGAUAAAAGUAAAUGGUUUAUAAAGGAGAAUGUGGUCGUACAAAUGCGGUAGCGCAGUUAUGCAGAAAUUCAAUGGUAAAACAAGACCAGCUUGCAAAUCGACACAUGAAGUUAUAGGAUGAGUAACCAAAAUGAAAAUAUUGAGAUGGAGAGGAAAAGUGACUCAAAACGUAAUACAAGGAAAGAAGGAAAUCAACAUAAGAUGAGAGAAGCAUUCGAGAGAAUGCCAAUAGCAUGAAGCUAAGAUGAAAAAAAGAUGAACUUAAUAAAAUGUGAGAAUGCCAAUUGCAUAAAAUUUGUUGCCUGCUUAAGACAUGCAGCAGGGGUGGUAUCAUUAUGUUUUGCAUUUAGAUCACAUUCAACAUUUUUUACUUCCAAAAUCAUUCAGACUCAUGGAGAGCCAAUAAAGCAUUCUUCUAACACCAAUAAGAGCACCCUUAGAAUUAUAAAGAGUAUGAUAAAGAAGGAAAAGUGUGCAGCUAGAGCUGGAUAGUUUAUGAGUUCAAUAAUAAAUGUGCCAUCAAGAACUCCAAAUAAACCCACCAAAGAUUGUUUCCAAAAUGCAGUGAACGCAAGCUAAAAAAAAAAAAAAACCUAUUCAACCUAAAUAAGCAAUUUGUAUAUUCUUCGCAUAUCUUUCUUCUAGUCAAACUGAGCAAAGAAGUUUUGUCUGAAACUACUAACAACCGGUUAAUGUCAAGGAAGUGCAAAAGAGAAAUAGUCCUAUGAGACUAGAAAUUUAUUUUCGUUCAAUUUACCCACCGCAGGAACUAUUCCAAGAGGAAUAAAUCAUUAUUUUACCACAGGUUCUUCCUAGGCAUGGCAUGGUGAUAAUAUUGUAUGUCUAUGGAAAUGAAUAAAAAAAUCCCAGUAGUGCAGGUCCCAAGCAAAACCGAUUCUAUUCAUUUUCGUGAAAACUUUAAUGAAUUUCGCAUGAUAAACUUAAGUACCUAGUUAAUUGCCAAACUUAAUUAAAAUUUACAUCCAGCAUCUUCUAAUGCAUCAGCUUAAGCAGUCAAACCAUCUAAACAAGUCCCAGUAAUUCUUGUUCUGUCCUACUGUUCAGUUCAUUUUUGACACAUAAUAAUUCAAUUCCAAAUAACCAAAUGGAAUAAGAUACAAGAACAUUUAACUUCAUUAGUUUUUCUCAGAACGAAACAUACCCAUCAACAAGCUGAACAAGUUUUGGAUAUAGCUGCUCAUCUCGUAAACGAUUUAUUUCGAGAACUGUUGAAUCCAUGGAUUGCAUAUCGACAAUAUAUCUUGUAUGCAGAUGACUGACUGCUGCUUUUAUUUUCUCCAGUGCUUCAGUGUUAGUACCUCGUUUCUUUUGCUUGUUAAGCAUAGCAACCUUUCUUUGGUAGUCAAGUUUCAUAAGUUCACCAGCCUAUCAGCAACAUCAGUACCAAAUAAGAUUCAGAAGACAGUGUGUAUGAAAAAUGUAAUACAGAGAAAACAAUAUCAUGGAAGCUGCACAUUUUGCAGAAACGAAAAAAAAUUAAAAGUUUGCUAGUUGAUUUUGAAUAAUUUUUUUUUUAUUUCAACCAAACAGAGAGGUGAGAUUUAGCUUACCAAUCAAUGAAUAAUAAUUACAAAUUUUCUAAAUAUGGCGGUAUUCAUGCAAAAAGUUAUUCAAUCUUAGAUUAAAGGAAGAAAAACAAGGACUAAAAAUUGACUUCUAUUUGGCAAGGUGAUAAUACAAUUUACAAGCCAAGUCCAAAAAAAUGAAGAGGUAUAAGAAGGGCACUCCAUCAAGCAUUUCCUAAAUCUGACCAACAAUGUAAUGCUCUUUCCCUACUCAUUCCCCUCCAUGUUUUCUACUGCAAGUUUAUCAAAGGAAACUUCAUGAUGAACUUAAGCAUGGAAAUAGAAACAAUCACCUCUCUGCAGGCACUUUAAACUAGGAUUUACAUAUAUAGAAGUAAUGACUCAAGAAGUAGACAUUUGAAGUUAAACAAAAGCUCAAUGGACAUCCAUAUAAAUAUCUACUAGUUCAAUGGGAUGGUCCCCCACAUAUUUAAAUGUUUGACAAAUACCCAAAAAUCAACUUUCCCAAUUAUAGAGUUACAUGUUUGCAAAUAUUACUUAUGGAUAAUGACCCACAAAGUAAAAAUCAAAUAUUUCCCUUAACAGUUCUUGAUUAUGGAAGUAUAGGACCUCCUUUUAUUCCGAAAUGAAUUAACUUUUAAUCAUUUUAAGGCAGUGUUCAAUCAUAAUUAUUUUUCAAAGAAAAAACUGGUCCUGAAGAACUCUAAAUGACCAUUUACUAAGGCCAAGAUACCUUCAGAUCCUUGAUUGAUAAUGCAUCAUAUAUCUUUCCUCAAUCAUACAACCACCCAGAUCAAAGCAUCAUAUGUUGCUUAAAUUCCAUAAACUCAACAGAACAGAUAACUCACCUCCAGGCGGAAUAGGUUUGUGGGAAAAACAAUCCCAGCUCCAGCAGAACUUCGAGUUGACUCCAAAAACUUUGGCAAAGAGAAAUUCCGUAUUCAUUCUCUAUUAACUUGGCAACGUUCCCAGCACAUGCAAAAAGAUGUCCAUGAAUUCCUUUUUCUCUAAACCACCUCAAUGGAAGAUCAAAAGAAAGAUCUGCAAAGGCUGAAACAGCAAGGUCUCCUCCAAGAAAAUCCAUUUCAGAAGCAUCAGCAUUCUCAUCAAGGAAUCGCCUCUAACUUGCCUUCUUGGCUCUGCAGGGCCCAAUCCCCUUGUCUUAAACCCCCACAAUGUCGAUGGCCUCUCUGAACUCAACAUUAAAAACAAUAAAAUACCCCUAAAAAAAAGAGCCCUAAUUUUUUGAAUCUGACUUUCGAACCCUAACUUUGGCCAAGUUCUUCACAACACUUUCUAGGCUUUUUUCCAAGGGUAUUUUAGCUCAAGGAUGGCGGCUUAUUUUGAAGGUUUACAGCAACGACUUGUGAGGUAGACCGUUGUUAGAGAGAGGUAGAGAGAGAGAGGGGGGAGAGAGAGAGAAGAGAGCUUCGGUUCAAAGAAGAAAGUGGCGGUGGGGAUAGAUUUUUUGCUCGUCAAAAUUUUUAGAUUUUAGGUUUCCAUGUACACCUCAUUAAAACGACAUAGUUUCUACUUUCUAGAUAAUUUAAUUUAAUUUUUAAUAAUUAUUGUUUAUUAAGUAAAAAUGCAACUUGUGGUUUGGUGGCUUAACGUUUAAAAUUAAAAAGUAAAGUAUAGAAGUCUGCGGUUCGACUCCCAGUGGAUACAAAUUAAAAUUUUAUUUUUUUAAUUACUGAUACCUUAAUGUCACAUAUUUGUGAUACUUAAUUUACAGACACUAUAGUAUUGAAAAUUUGUGAUACUUAUCUGUUAAACACGGAAAAUGCCCCAAACACAUGUAAUUACUGAUAUUUUUUAAUUAAGUGUCACAAGAUAAAUAUCAGUAAAGACUAUUUUUCUAGUAGUGAAUAAUAAUGUAAUAGUGAUUUGUUCAAUGGAUCCAAAUCUCAAAAGGUUUCGAUGACUUCAUUAUGGGCAAUUUGAUUAUAUGAUUCAUUGACAAAUUCAAGUAAAAUUGAGGGGUCAUACAUAAAAUUGGUGAAAUUUCAACUCCCUGUGCUUCUGUAAUUAUUUUUUGUCCACGGCAUGUACCUGGCGAGUUAACAAAGGCCUCGUUUUCUUAAAAAUAAAAUCUACCUUUAUGCUGUCUUGUUUUAUCCACAUGCCGCCAACUAACACCACAUGAGUCUACCCAAUAAGCAUUAAACUCACAAACAACAAAAUAGCCACUUCUUAAGUUUUCAUCAUAUCAUAGUACUUAUAUGUAAAUGUAAUUAUUAGCCAACCAAUUAGCCAAAUUGUUCCUCUAAANNNNNNNNNNNNNNNNNNNNNNNNNNNNNNNNNNNNNNNNNNNNNNNNNNNNNNNNNNNNNNNNNNNNNNNNNNNNNNNNNNNNNNNNNNNNNNNNNNNNGAGGUUGUUUUGGCCUUUGGGAACUGACUUUGAUGAUCAAUUUAUGUGCUGCUUGUUCAGCUUCUUGCUCUACGUUCUUAUGCAAAAUGAGUGCUGUUAACAAAAAUUGGGCAAUGCAAUUAAUAGUUCAGAAAUCGGAGCAAGUAUAUUUCAUAUCUAAAGUUGAAGAUUAUUAAAAUGACUAAUUUAGAGGAUUGCAGCCAUCAUAUUCAUAUUCCUGUUAAAGGAUGAUACAGCUUUCAUACUAGUUAAAAAUAAAUAAAUAAAUAAAUAAAAAGAAGAAGCAUAAAUAAAUAAAUGCAUCCUUCCUUUUCACGCUUAGAAAUUAAAGUAGCUGACGACAUACGUUAGUGAAUGCACAUAUCUAUAAAGCCUUCUUUGUCAAGGCUCUAGAGUUACCAUUUGAUAUAACGUUUCUUUACAAAUAAAUCCUGCUAAUAAUUGCUAAAAUGCCGCGAGUUGCUCCUCGUGCUUCAGGUCCGGCUAACCUUAGGAGCACUAAUUUUAACUAUCUUAUCGAUUUUAUUGAGAGAAAGGAAGCAGGUAAGUGUUUAAUAAUAUAUAUCAGUUACGUGCCCAAUCCGGGGUUCGUCCCAAGCGGCCCAGUGGGAACUGGCAGACCAGAGUAGAUAAUAAGAAGUCAGAAGUUCUGCCGUCAGAUACUCCACAACCCUUAGAUACUCCACGACCUGAGCCUUCCAUCACUAAACAGAUUGCAGAUGUCGAGUCUCUGAUUGUCUUACCUACGGAGAACCAAGUUAACGCUACAAACUCUAUUUCCAUUAAGGAGCCGAUUGGCCAGGAUGUCACAACUCAUGAUUCUAGGAUCCGAAAACCUGGUGAGUAUAAUCCACAUCUUCAUUGAGCGUCCAGCACAAAUUUUAGGCAUUACAGUAGUUGACAAAACCCAUAUCAGUCCGCGAUAGAACGGCGCUCCUCGUUGUUGCCUGUGAGGGAAACUGGGAGUUCAUGGAGGAGUUGGUGAAUGUCAUGGAUGCAAAUGAUCUUGGAAUGGUAGAUGAAUUGGGUUGCACGGCACUUCAUUAUGCGGAAGUUGGUGGAAGCAUCAAGGCGUGCAGGCUUUAGUAAGGAAAAAGCGUGCUCUUACACAAACUGUGAGCAACCGCGGGUGGACUCCGCUUCUCUCUGCAGCUCAUUGUGCUCCCAAAGAUAAAGACAUUGUAUACUACCUUUCAUCUGUAACUACUAAUGAACCUCCCGGCAGCCCAUUCACUGGUCCUUUGGCUGGUAUGCUUGCUUGCGCACUAGCUGCUGGAGGUUUUCAUGGUAAAGUAAAAUAUCUACAUCGUGACUUCCAUGUCAAAUGCAUUCGUUGAUGGAUUUCUUUUGUAACUUUUUUUUUUAAUUUAACUUUUGCAGCAGAUAUUAUUUUAUAUUUAAGCCAGGGACAUCGUAACUUAGGUACUGUUAAAGAUGAUGAGGGGCAUAAUAUACUAGAUGCAUUGGUUUUAAGGCCCCAGGAUUUCCAGAAUGGAACCGAUCUUGGAUCUUAAAAAAACUGGAUCUACCCUCGUUAGUCCUCUCUCAUUGUAUAUCAUUAUAUAUUCUACAACAGUAUUUGCUGAUAUAUAUUUUUUUUUCCUUUUUUACUUGUUUAAGUUGUUCCUGUGGAAAUGGAUUCCUCAGCACCGUGGUCAGCAAGAAUUGGUCUGGUCAAUACAACCGGUCAAGGUUUAUGAAUUAAAUUUCGUAUUAGUUUUGGUUUUGUAUUGCAAUGUUCUAGUAUUAUGGGUUUAAUAUGGUUUAAUUAUUGACUGGAGUUUUAAUAUAAGAAUUUAAAUUUUCUCCAGCGUGCCAAUGUUGUAUUCUUUAGUUGAUCAUUUCUAACGUGUCAUGCAUUUUCAUUCAAGUGAUUUAAUACUUUUUUCUAUAUCGGUAUUUUNNNNNNNNNNNNNNNNNNNNNNNNNNNNNNNNNNNNNNNNNNNNNNNNNNNNNNNNNNNNNNNNNNNNNNNNNNNNNNNNNNNNNNNNNNNNNNNNNNNNUUGCUCUCCCUGGCUUAAUGAGGGUGACUUGAUCAUGUAAUUUCUUAUACAUUAUCCAUUGUUUGUUUUAUUUGCAGUGCCUGGUAUCAAGCAAAUUCGGGAUGCAAAGUUGACACAUAAAUUGGCCCUCGAAAUGGCCAAACACGUUUUUAAAGCAUUUCAAAUGUUUAUGAUGUAAAGGAUUAUGUAUCUUUCCACUCAAACACCAUAGCUGCUGCAGCAAGCUCUGGCAUUGUUGAAAUCGUAAAGAUGUGUCUUCAAAUGUUCCCACAUACCAUUUGGCUUUCCACUGAUCAGCAAACCAUACUGAAAGUUGCUGUUUGUUAAGGAAGCUCACGUUGCAGUCAAAAGGAGCAGCUCAGCUGGCACGUGAGAUCUAAAGCCAAAUCAGCAGAGUCUGUUAAGAAGCUAUGCCAGCUCAGCAAGUUUGUUGAAGCAUGCUUUUCAUUCUGUUUUGUAGUUAAGCUUACUUAAUUAGUUUAGCUCUCUUGUUUUAGCUUGGUAUAUAAACUGAUGUAGAUCUGCUUUUCAUUGUUAAUCGAGAAAUGAAAUAAAAGAAAAACUCCAGAAUAUUCUUUUCAUUUUCUUAGUUCCCAAACACAUUUUACAAUUACACAUUUAACUUUCAAACAUGGUAUCAGAACCAAACAGAGCAAGCUCUAGUAAUCAACAAAUAAAUUCCAGAAAUACGACAACAGCAAAUGUAAGUCAGAUCAAUUUCUCAUUUAACACUCCAAUCAAGCUAGAUAGAUCCAAUUAUCUGCUUUGGCGAUCACAAGUUUUAGCAUCGAUCAGAGGAAAUCGAUUGGAAGGCUUCAUAGAUGGAACCAAAUCAACACCUGAGGAAAAAUUACUACUCGCUAGAGCUGAUGGAUCUGCUCAAGAAAUUGAUAAGCCAGAAUAUCAAAACUGGAGAUCACAUGAUCAAACCUUACUUGGAUGGCUGUUAUCAGCAAUUAAUGAAGGUAAUCUUAGUCUUGUUAUUAAUUGUGUGAUGCAUGGAGAACCUUAGAGAAGAAGUUUGGAGUUCAAUCUGAGGCUAGAGUACUUCAGCUUAGAUAUGAGUUGAAUACAAUAAAGAAGGAGGCAUUAAGUAUUGAAGAUUAUUGUAUUAAGAUGAAAUCUAUAGCUGAUAAACUUGCUAGUGCUGGUAGUCUUAUAACAGAAAAAGAUUUGAUGUUAACAAUAUUAAAUGGAUUAGGAUUAGGCUAUCAUGAUAUAGCAACCUUCAUAGCUGGUUCUAAAAUGGAAUUUGAUGAUGCUUAUGCAUUGUUGUUAACACAUGAAACCAGACUUGAACAAGAACAGGAUGAUAAGAAUAUGUUUAAUGCAAACUAUGCCCAUGCUAAUACAUGUUAUCAUAGAGCUUUCUAUGGUCAAGCUAGAGGUAAUUUCAGAAGAGGUGAAUAUGUUGGUGGUAGUUUUGGUAAUAUUGGUAGUAGGAAUCAUGGAAUUAGAAAAGGAAAUUUUGGUCCACAAAGAAUGUUUUAUGGAAGUUUCAGGAGGGGAAAUGGCAGAGGACAGUUUCCUGGUUAAAAUAAUGCUCACAAUUUUUCUUCUCAAUCACCAAGGAAUAUGACUCCAUUCACUAGAAAUGGCUUUGUUGGAAUGAAUGGAUCAACAGGGUCUACUGGAAACAUAAAAGAAACUACUUGUCAGGUCUGUUUUAAAAUUGGUCAUACGGCUGACAUCUGCUGGCAUAGAUUUGUAGAAGAUUAUACUCCUACUCCAAGAAAUUUUAGUAAAGGAAAAGGACCAAGAUCUGCAUACUUUACUAAUUUUGAUGGUUUCAACUCACAUUCUAGCUGUGAAGAUUAUGAUUGUUUCAGCUAUAUGCCACCAAAUUUUCAUCCUACUUCUGGAGCUCAUCUUUACCCUGGUGUUGAUGCUUAUAAUCUUGGAGCUGCAAAUAUGGCAAAUUUUGAAGGAGCUGCUGAUGAUGGCUGGUAUUUGGAUAGUGGAGCCACUCACCACUUAACAAAUAAUAUGGAGAAUCUAUAGCUCAGAGAGGAGUAUAAAGGUAAUGAUUAGCUCAUCAUUAGUAAUGGUAAAGGAUUAUCUAUCUCUCAUGUUGGACAUGCUUUUCUGUCAUUUAGAGCUUUAAACUGUCAUUCUUCACAUAUUGUUAUAGCACUUAAAGACAUGUUUGUUCCUUCAAUCACUAAAAAUUUGUUAAGCAGUUCUAAACUCACCUAUGAUAAUUCUCUCUCUGUUGAAUUCUGUGGAAAUAUCUAUUUUGUAAAGGACAUGAAGGGACAAGUUCUUCUGCAAGGCCUUGCUGAGAAAGGUCUCUACAAACUGCUAUUGAAACCUAAGCCUAUUCUUCAUCACCUGCAUUUCAUCUAUCACAAUCUCAGAUAAAUUAGCCAGUCUCUAUGCUGUCAGUCUCAAAUGUGUCUUUUGUUAAUCAAAAUUGUUGUGCUUUUACUACAACUUGUAAUAACUCAUUUUCAAAUGCUUGUAAUCAAAAACCUGAUGAUUUGACUUUAUUGCAUAGAAGGUUUGGUCAUCCAAACUCAACAAUAUUGAUGCAUUUGCUUAAAUCCUGUAAGCAAUUUAAAGUCUCUUCUAAAGCUCUUUCAUCUUCUACUUAUUCUAUCUGUGAUGCUUGUCAAUUAGGAAAAACUCAUAAACUACAUUUUCUCACCACUGAAACUAAAAGUACACAAGUACUGGAACUAAUAUAUACUGAUAUUUAGGGGCCUUCACCUACUGUUUCUAGGAAUGGAUAUAAAUAUUAUAUCAGUUUUGUUGAUGACUACAGUAAAUACACUUGGGUUUAUCCUCUCAAGCUUAAGUCAGAUGGUUUUGCAGUCUUUAAACUCUUUAAACUCCAAGUAGAAAAUCAAUUCAGUAGUAAAGUCAAGAUGCUGCAAUUUGACUAGGGGGAGAAUAUAGAGUGUUCACUGAUUUCUUGAAUCAAAAUGGGAUCAUAUUUCGACAUUCAUGUCCAUAUACUCACCAUCAAAAUGGUCUGGUUGAGAGGAAGCUUAGACAUAUAGUAGAAUUGGGAUUAACAUUAUUAGCUCAAGCUAAUCUGCCCUUUAAAUUUUGGUGGGAUGUUAUUCACACUGUAGUUUAUCAUAUAAGUAGAUUGCCUACCCUUGUGUUAAAGUUUGUGUCUCCUUAUGAAAAAUUAUUCAACCACAAACCAGAUUACAGCUUCUUAAAAUGUUUUGGUUGCCUUUGUUAUCCAUAUUUGAGGAACUUCAACAAGCAUAAGUUUGAUUUUCAUACAAGAAAAUGCAUCUUUAUUGGAUACAACCCAUCUCAUAAAGGUUACAAAUGUUUGACAAGUUCAGGAAAGGUUCAUAUACUUAGACAUGUGAUUUUUUAUGAAACCAUAUUUCCUUACUUAAACAACAUCAUUUUUUCUUCUUCUGAAAACACAUCCUCAUCUGAGAUUCCAGUGUCAUCCUUUACUCAGCAACAAAUUUUUCAUUUAUUAACACUUUCUAUCCCUAAUAGCAGUCUUGAAGAAAAUUUCUCAGCAGACUCAGCAAGAAAUGAACAGGUAUCUUCAUCAUCUUUACAUACAGACAUUUUACAUCAUGAGCUACCUAAUCAUUCUUUGACAGAAUCUUUAUCACCCCACAUAUCUUCUCAAAAUCUAGAAUCAAUUCAGCCACAAUUUGAACCACAAAUUAUCAUUCAACAACCAUAAUCUCAGCAUAUUCCUGAUGCCUCAAACACAAGCCUGACUCAGAAACCUUCUCAGAAAAUGGUUACCAGAUCAAAAUCUGGUAUCUUCAAACCAAAAAUAUAUACAACAACUUUAAUCAAUAAAUAACUUGAUACAGAUCAAGAAGCUCUUAGUGAUUAGAAUUGGCAUCAAGCCAUGAGAGAUGAGUAUGAGGCUUUAAUCAGGAAUAAGACUUGGUCAUUAGUUUCAUCUUCAGCUGAACACAAAGUUGUAGGCAACAAGUGGGUGUUUAGAGUAAAACAAAAUAGUGAUGGAAGCAUAGUUAAGUAUAAAGCUCGGUUAGUUGCAAAAGGUUUUCAACAAACUGAAGGUGUGGAUUACUUUGAAACAUUCAGUCCUGUUGUGAAAUCUUCUACAGUGAGAAUUAUAUUGAGUUUAGCUGCAAUGCAUAAAUGGACAAUUAGACAAGUGGAUGUAAAUAAUGCAUUUUUAAAUGGAGAGUUGACUGAAGAUGUUUAUAUGUGUCAACUUGAGGGGUUUGUUGAUCUGCAGAAGCCCAACUAUGUGUGCAAAUUAAAAAAGGCUUUAUAUGGCUUAAAACAAGCUCCAAGAGCUUGGUAUGAUAAGUUGAGAGAUAGUCUGGUUACCAAGUGGGGAUUCAGAAAAUCAAGAGCUAAUACAUCCUUGUUCUGUAAAGGAAAAUAGGGCUUAAUAAUUUUCCUUUUGAUAUAUGUCAAUGACAUAAUGAUCACAAGUCCUAAUAGUGCUGAAUUAGAGCAAUUUAUCUUGGAAUUCAGUAAAGUAUUUGCUCUAAAAGACUUGGGGAAACUGUCAUGUUUCCCUGGCAUAGAAGUUUCUGAUGUUGCAGAGGAUAUUUAUCUGUCUCAGAGGAAAUAUAUCAGGGAUUUGUUGAGUAAAGCUGAUAUGUUAGAAUGCAAAGAGUGUAACACUUCAAUGGUGACAGGAGUAAAGCUCCAGAAGGAAGCUAAGGGUCAUUUGGGCUAGUAUGUUGAAGAUCCUACUGGUUACAGAAGUCUUGUUGGGGGGUUGCAGUAUUUAGUUCUAACGAGACCAGAAAUAACUUAUGCAGUAAACAAGCUAAGUCAGUAUGUGUCAGCACCUACACUUCAACAUGUCAUUGCCUGCAAAAGAGUUCUUAGAUAUCUAAAGGAGACUGAAAAUUAUGGUUUAAAGUUUUCAACAGAAGGAGAAAUGAAGCUCUCAAGUUACACUGAUGCAGAUUGGUCUUUUGAUAUUGAUGAUAGGAAAUCAACAGGUGCUUAAUGCAAUUAUUUGGGAAGUAACUUGAUAUCUUGGUCAUCCAAGAAACAGUCAGUGGUUGCUAGGUCCAGUGCAGAGUGUGAGUACAGAGCCCUUGCAACUGCAAGUGCAAAAAUCUCAUGGAUUCAGUCAUUAUUUGGUGAACUUGGUAUUGAAUGUGUUUCUCUUCCCACGAUUUUGUGUGAUAAUGUCAGUGCAAUAGAACUAGCUAAGAACCCUAUUUAUCAUUCAAGAACAAAGCAUAUUAAAUUAGACAUGCACUUCAUUAGAGAUAAAGUCCUAACUAAAGAACUGGAAAUCAGGUACAUUCCCAGUAAAGAGCAUAUUGCAGACAUCUUGACUAAGCCUCUCACUUUUAUUCAUUUCAAUUAUUUUCGAGCCAAACUCAAUGUGCAAGCAUGCCCCUUAAGUUUGAGGGGGGAUGUUAAGGAAGCUCACGUUGCAGUCAAAAGGAGCAGCUCAGCUGGCACGUGAGAUCUAAAGCCAAAUCAGCAGAGUCUGUUAAGAAGCUAUGCCAGCUCAGCAAGUUUGUUGAAGCAUGCUUUUCAUUCUGUUUUGUAGUUAAACUUACUUAAUUAGUUUAGCUCUCUUGUUUUAGCUUGGUAUAUAAACUGAUGUAGAUCUGCUUUUCAUUGUUAAUCGAGAAAUGAAAUAAAAGAAAAACUCCAGAAUAUUCUUUUCAUUUUCUUAGUUCCCAAACACAUUUUACAGUUAUACAUUUAACUUUCAAACAUUGUUCAACAUCGACAAGAAAAGAUUUUGAAUCUUUUGCAUAAUAUGGAUGUAUAUAAUAAGUUCAUAUCUCCCCAGCUAAUUGAUGAAUCUACUAAGGACAACAUCUUGCAUUUGGCAACAAAGUUAGCACUUCCAGCUCAUUUAAGAAUUAUGCUUGGGGUAGCUCUAAAAAUGCAAAGGGAGGUGCAGUGAUUCAAGGUUUUAGCUCCUGUUAAAACACAUAAAGUAUCCAUGUUGCGUACUCUUCCAAUUAGUAACAUUAUUCCUUGACAAUUUUGAUAUAUGCUCUCGUAGGUGGAGAAAUUAGUGCACCAUUUUCUUAAGAAAGUGCAAAACAUUGAUGGAAAAACAGCCCAGGAUAUAUUCAUAGAGCAACAUAAAGAUUUUCUUGAGAAUUCAGAGAAAUGGAUGAAGUAUACAUCAAAUUCUUGCAUGGUUGUCACCGCUCUCAUUGCUACUAUGAUGUUUGCAACAGCUUGUACUGUGCCUGGAGGAAACAUUAAAAGUGGCAACCCAAUUUUCUUGAGAGAUAAGUUAUUCAUGGUGUUUGCUAUCUCAUAUGCACUCGGGUUUAUUUUCACUUCUACACCACUUUUGGUGUUCGUAUCUAUCCAAAUUGCGCAGUAUGCAGAAAAAGAUUGUUGGGAUUAUAUGCUCUUUUGAACCAUAUUAAUUUAUUUUCUGAUUAAUAAAAUAUUUGAGACAUUUUCAAUUGCAUAAAUAUAUAUUGAUAAGGUCCGUUUAAUCAUAUUAUAUGUAUUUAUGUGAUCAUCAUAUGGAUUCAUAGAAGACAUAAAUACAAGUUAUCUUAUGAUUAAAUAAAUUUAGUUCACAGUUGAUAAAUAGAGUUGGGCACUCUAUUUAUGUUUAGACUGCAGUAAAUUCAUUGAAUAAUUUGUCUUAAUCAUAUAUGAAUCUACUGAUGUAGUUUGACUACAUUGAUCUAGAUCACAUAUGAGAUUUAAUUAAUCUUGAAAUGACUAUCUGACUUAUUACAUCUCAUAGGCAUUGAUUUUACUGUAAUCUUAAUCUUGAGUUAGUUAUGAUUUCAUGAUUGUAAUUGUUAUUCCAUUUGAGUUACCAAUAGGCACGACACACACUUGCGGUCAAAAUUACCCGGUAUCUUGGUGGGAGCAAUUAUGAGUAUUGGAGUUAUAGAUUAACAAUAUAGAAUUUGUACAACACAUCUCUUGAUGGGUUUUUGACACUUAAUCAUAGAAUUCUUUUGCCAGAGUGUGUCAACAUAUUUAGUAUGUUGAAAAUGAUCAUUAGAGAAAACCAGUAAGUAUCAAGGAACAAGAUGUAAUUAAAUCGAUUGGACAGUUGAGAUGUCGAUUUAAUUAACGAUAUGGUACAAAGGAUUAUGCAGUAAAGAAAUCAAUGUGGCAUGGGUCGAAUUAUUAUUCGAGUACACUAUCCUAGAUAGCAUACAAUUAUGGAGGUCAAUUUCAAUCUUUUAGUGGAGUAGAUUUGAAAUUAAAUAAUUGGACUAGUUUAAUUACAGCCUAAUUAUUGUAGGCAUUAUUGUAUGUACCCAUAUGAUCCCUGAGUUAGCUCAUUUAAUUAACUGUGCCGCUACUGAAUUAAUAAGCAAGAUAACUAGCUAUUUAGGUUAAAAGCCUAAAUAUAUUAUUUAGUGGGAGGCUCCAUUAAUAUGCUUGAGUGUAAGGGGCCUUGUGUUAUUUUAUAAGGUGGGCCCCUAUAACACAAGAACAAGUACCGUGACUUUUGUUUUAAUUAUUUUUAAUUUAAAUCAAGUGGGAUUUAAUAGAAUUAAAAAAUAAAUAAAUAUGGAGCCUAGGAUUUCCACUAAAUAGAGAUAUAAAAAGGCUUAUUUUCUCCUAAAAGAGAUAGAGCAGCCACUUUAUACAGAUCAGAGAAAAAAUAUUUCUCUCCAAUUUUGAGAGAAAAAUUUUCUCUUGCUAGUUGCUUAUAGUGGUGAUAAAGGCGCCUACAUGUCAAGUGCAGAUCAAACCUGAGUCAUAAUCUAGAAGAUCAGUGGUGACGGAUCGUGAUCUAAUAGGCGUGGUGGUGACAGAUCAUGAUCUAAUAGGAGUGGUGGUGACAGAUCGUGAUCUGAGAGUCUAAAUCACUUCAGCGGAAAAAGCAAAGAUUGUUCAUCUUCUCUGAUUUUCAAGGUACGAUUUCUAGAUUACGUAUUCCUAUAUAUUGUAUGAGAUCAGUCCUAAAAGUUUUUAUAAAAAUUUUAAAAAAUUGAUUUUUCUCUAACAAAGAUUUCGUCGAGUCACUGCAAAAAAAGUUAAUAAUAGGUCUUGCUUCUCUCUUCAUCUCUUCUAUAGUGAACAUGAUGAUAUCUUUUGUGGCAACUUUUUCAAUUGUUCUCAUGAUAGAUCGAAAUGGUUAACCAUUCCUAUCCUAGCGUCUGUCCCUCUGACCAUACAUGCAUUACUGCAGCUGCCAUUAUUUGUUCAAAUGUAUCAAUCGACGUAUGGAUCCGACAUCUUUCGAUGUCUUUAGAUUUAGUACUUCUUGUAUAUUUUAGUAAUGUGAGUCCCGAUCCUAUUGUGGAUUCUUCAUGAACGAUGUUGUAUUGAAGUUUUCAUAAAGUUUUGUGUUUCACAUUGUUACUUGGGAUGUGCUACCUCAUUUGUCGUUGAAAUCCAAGCUAUAAUUUAAUUAAUUUUCUGUGGAAUCUGUGCUAUAAUUUAUCCGACAUAAGAAUUAAUGCAGUGGGGUAUUGAGAAAUUUAGGGGGACUAAACGGCACAAAACUAAAACUAUUUACUUGAGAGAAAAUUUUGUUAAAUUGAAGGACUUUGUUGAUAUUUUAUAAGAGACAUUACAACACUCACGAGUCACUCUUCUUUCUCUCUUCUAACUAUUCACUCUUCACUUAAUUUCCACAACAAAGAGCUUAAGGGUAUUUAUAAUAACCUAGAACUAAUAAAAAUCACACAAAUAUUAAAUUAAAAAAUUUGACAACCCCAUUUUACAAAUAUCUCUAAAUAUUCAACAAAUAUCCAAAUUUAUAUAUUUCUACCACUAUUAGAUAUUUUUAUCUUCGAAAUAUCUUUCAUUCUCUAUACAAUUCUUGAAAUCUUCCAUGCAUUAGGCUUUGAACUUGGGCUUGGACAAAUGUAAUUGGAUUAUAUCAUAAAAUUGGUGUUGGACUUUUAAUACUUCUCCUCAACACCAACUUUCAUCCUUUAAUCCAUAUUGAGUUACUGGCGGAACUCUUUAGACUUCCCCGGUACUGAAACUUUUUGUAAAUAAGUCCGCAACUUAAUUGUCCAUCUUGACUCACCGCGUUUUAACUUCAUCUUGCAACACCUUUUCUCUGAUGAAAUGAUAGUGCACCUCUACAUGCUUAGUUCUUGCAUGGAAAAUUGGAUUUUCCAUCAAGUUAAUCACCGAUUGAUUAUUGCAAUACAAUGGUUCUAUGUAAUCUACAAGUUGGUGUAGAUCCUUCAUCAAUUGUAUUAACUAAAUAUUUUCUUGAGCUGCCAUCACUAUAUUUGACUACAAUAUACAAUUUUCAUUGAAAUAGGUCUUAAAACAUAAUAGUGUAUGGUAAAAACUUUUAAACUUUAAAUAAAAAAAACUAGCAUUUAAAAAGGAAUAAAUGAUAUUGUGCAUAAUAAUCAUGAAAAUCAUAUCAAUAGAGAAUGUAUAUACAUAAUUAUAAAGUUGUCAAUGAACAAGUACCCAAAGAAAUAACCUUCCAUACCCAAACUUAUAUGGGCAAUGCAACAAAUGUGCGAAUAUAGCGUUUACAAUUUGGAUUAGAGUGAGAAUCCUAAGGAGUAGGAAUUCUGGGAUUGGGAGUGGGAGUAAGAGCAAGUUGUUUACUUACACUGAAAUGGGAGUAUGGAAUCGGAAUCAAAAUCCAAUUUAUGUGUUUACUUUGUCUUGUAUUGAGAGUCAAUGCUUUCGAAUUAUAAUUUUAUCAUUAUGUAAAGAAUUAUAGUUUUUAAUUAUCAAAUUAAUAAACUAUAUUUUCAAAAAUAAAAUAUUUAUUUUAUUAUAUUUGCAAAUUAAUGGUAAUUAUUAAUAUUCUUAAUUAUAUAAAUUAAAAAUUACUGAUAAGAGCAAUAAAAAUGAAACAUUAUUAUUAAUAAUAUAGUACGAAAUUAAUAUUUUCUUAGAAUAAACUAUUUGUUGUUAUUAAUUAUUAAUUUUAAAUAAAUAAAAUAAUAUUAUAUUUUCAAAAAAAGAUAGUAUAUAGUUAUAUUAUUAAUUCUCUAUGAACAUAAUAACAAUAUUUUUAAGUAAUUCUAACUUAGAAUCAAUAAAAAUUAUUAUUUUUAACUAAAUAUAAUAAGGUUAUAGUUAAAUAAGUUUAAUAUUAUUAUUUUAAAUAAUAAUAAUUUUUAAAAUAAUAUAAUAAUAUUAUUUAAAUAAAUAUAAUAUUAUUUAUUUUGUUUUAUUAAAUAUAAUUAUACUAAAUUUAAUAAAAUAAGAAUAAAAAAUGAGUGGGAAUCCCCCUCCCUACUCCUCAAAAGGUGGGCUCCACGAAGUGAGAUUCCCACUCCUCUUUUAAAAUAUGUAAGUAAAUAUUAGAAUAUGAGGAAUCCACACUCUUCAAUUCUACUCCAGUAAGUAAACAUAAUAUAAAAGUGUAUUGUUAUGCUUGGAGCUACAACGGAUAGACCAAUAACGUGCCAUUUCAUAUAUCUAAUCAUAUCUUAUCAUACUGCAUGGAUAAAAUAGCCUCCAAAAGGCAAAAGGCCUUGAGCACAUGGCCUAAAGCACUAUGUGUACUCAGACAAGCUUAAAAAGCCUUUAUCUCAAUUGCAUCCCUAUAGUGUAUCUCUGUAACUAAAUUUAUGUAAUUGUAUCUCUAUUCUCAUCUAUGUACUUGGAGGGGAAGGGUAAUGAUUUUGAAAAUAAACUUUUAUACACAUGGAAAGAAACAUUUUAAACAUACUUUAAGUCUACAUUCCUUUUUAUUAAAAUACUCAUGCAUUUAUUAUUAAAAAAUCCAUCAUAUCCAUUAAUAAAAAAUUCAAUAUGUAAAUGAAAAACUAUUUCUAUAAAGACUAAAAUCAAAGCAUCAAACAUUACUUUGUAGACAUAAUUUACUUUACUCGAAUUCAAAUUGUAAUAAAAAUAUUCAAGAUAAGUUUAGUGUAUUCCAUUCAUAAAGACUAUGCUUAAGCUUGACUAUCUUUGAUGCCCACUAAUUGACUCACGUUCGAGGCUCCUGCUAAAUCAAGCAAAUGACAUAAUUACUUCUCAAACAUGAGAAAAUACAACAAACUUUAUGCGACAUAGCUACAAUGGAUAUUUACCGUAGAACUUAUAAGUCUGAAUCCAUACUUGUAAACCCAAAAUUACUACAAUAGCCUCAAGCAAUAAAUUAUAUCUUAUGCUUAAAAUUCCAUAUUUCACCUCAAUAAUUGAAUUUCCAUAUAUUAUAAUACUAAUAAAUCAUACAUAUUAUCAGCAAUCUCAUUACUAACCAUAAAGCACCUAAAUAUAAUAUAAAAUUGUAAGCUAAUUACAUACUUGGUGUGUUGUGAGUUGUCAAUAUGCAAGUGUACACAACAAGUAACAUAAUGAGGAGUAUCAAGAUCAUCUUAUAAGAGAUUGAUGUUAUAGGAAUUGCUAUAGCAAUUUUAACAGUGCAAUUUUAAUAACCUAAAUAAAACAAAAUAAAUGAUGAGAUGAGAAAUCUACUAAAAUUGACAAUGCAAUAAAUAAAAUGUAAUAUAGAAAAUGUAAAGUCGAAUGCAAAGAUAUACUCAAUGGCAAAGGGGUAGUUGGGUUCUAAACUCACUUACUAGUUAAGACACAAUUGCUACAACAUCUACUAUAGCAUUGGACAGAAUCUCUAAUGCGUCCUCAGCUGUCUUAUUUUGGAUAUCUUAUAUCUAUAUGCAAAGUAACAAUUACUAGUUGUUAAACUAACAUCAGAUAUAACAUUAUACAUUUCAGACUUUAUUUGCCUUACAAGGUGAAUCUUUACGUCUAAUUCUUCACUAAUCUUAGAUUAAGUAUGGCAAUAUUCAAAUCGAGAUUAACUCAACUUGGGAGACCUAAUCUAAAACCAUGUAUUGUCUUAAUUUAUUAUAUUAAGUCAAACCUUUUUUAGGCUUCUUCUUAACUAGUAUCCACUAAAUGAAUAGUCAACCAAAAUAGGAAAUUGCAAUAAGUAAAAUUAAAACAAAGUGCUAUAGCAGAUUCUGAGCAAUAUACAUAUGUGAGUCAAAUAACCAUUAAGUUUAUUAAAAACCCAACUAACUUGAGGUUUAGCUCAUGAUGAGCAUUAAAACAGUAACAACAUAAGUGUUUGCCAUUAAAUACAUCAUUAAAGAGAGAAAAAACAAUCAAAUACAAUGAAAAGGUGAGAUACAAAAGACUCCCAAAUGUCACACUUGUUAUCUCUCAUUCUUCUCUAUGAAAAUUCCCUCUGUUGCAUCUCUAAAAUCUCUCUUAUUGUAUUCUUCUUGCCUCUGUCAGUCGUGUCCUCUAUUUCCUUAAAAUGUGCCCUUUAAUAUAUUGGGAUUAGGGCAACCAAAAAGCAUGAGGAGACUUGUUCUUUCUUGGCAUCGUAGGACCACACUCCCCNNNNNNNNNNNNNNNNNNNNNNNNNNNNNNNNNNNNNNNNNNNNNNNNNNNNNNNNNNNNNNNNNNNNNNNNNNNNNNNNNNNNNNNNNNNNNNNNNNNNNNNNNNNNNNNNNNNNNNNNNNNNNNNNNNNNNNNNNNNNNNNNNNNNNNNNNNNNNNNNNNNNNNNNNNNNNNNNNNNNNNNNNNNNNNNNNNNNNNNNNNNNNNNNNNNNNNNNNNNNNNNNNNNNNNNNNNNNNNNNNNNNNNNNNNNNNNNNNNNNNNNNNNNNNNNNNNNNNNNNNNNNNNNNNNNNNNNNNNNNNNNNNNNNNNNNNNNNNNNNNNNNNNNNNNNNNNNNNNNNNNNNNNNNNNNNNNNNNNNNNNNNNNNNNNNNNNNNNNNNNNNNNNNNNNNNNNNNNNNNNNNNNNNNNNNNNNNNNNNNNNNNNNNNNNNNNNNNNNNNNNNNNNNNNNNNNNNNNNNNNNNNNNNNNNNNNNNNNNNNNNNNNNNNNNNNNNNNNNNNNNNNNNNNNNNNNNNNNNNNNNNNNNNNNNNNNNNNNNNNNNNNNNNNNNNNNNNNNNNNNNNNNNNNNNNNNNNNNNNNNNNNNNNNNNNNNNNNNNNNNNNNNNNNNNNNNNNNNNNNNNNNNNNNNNNNNNNNNNNNNNNNNNNNNNNNNNNNNNNNNNNNNNNNNNNNNNNNNNNNNNNNNNNNNNNNNNNNNNNNNNNNNNNNNNNNNNNNNNNNNNNNNNNNNNNNNNNNNNNNNNNNNNNNNNNNNNNNNNNNNNNNNNNNNNNNNNNNNNNNNNNNNNNNNNNNNNNNNNNNNNNNNNNNNNNNNNNNNNNNNNNNNNNNNNNNNNNNNNNNNNNNNNNNNNNNNNNNNNNNNNNNNNNNNNNNNNNNNNNNNNNNNNNNNNNNGCUGGACCAUCAGCCGCCGGCUAGGGAGGGGCACUGCAUCCAUGAUAAAAAUUCAUCAUUUACUCUUUAAAUAGGGCUGAGUGAAGAGUAUAAAUCCAAUAAUAACUCUCAUUUCAGAGAGUUAUCAAUACUGAAUCAGAAAAAUGCAGAAGUCUUCUAAUCUACAAGAUAAAUUCCUUUAUUCUUCAACUUCGAUCAUUUCAAAAUAGUUCCUAUCAUUAUAUCCCCCAUUUGGAUGAAAUCUAAUCGUAUUAUAACAUUUAAGCUCAAACCAAUUUUUUUUCUUAGUCACUAGGCGAAGCGCACCUUUGGUACUUUAGUAGAGGGAAUUGUUUGAUAAGGUAAUUGGUAAAUUUAUUACAUUAAUUAGCAUUGAUAACUUUUUUUUUUGUUUUUUAACUAUCUAUUUAUAUUUUACAAUAGAUAUAAGUUCGCAUAACUCUGUUUUGGUCAUUUAAAUAUGGAUAUGAACUUUUAUGGCUAAUUUAUGAAACGUACAUGAUAGAUUAUUUGAUAAAUGAUUACGUAAUAAUCUAAAACUAUGAAAAAUCUUACCAAAUUAUUUAUAAAACUGAUUAUUUGAGGAUUUUGAUUAUUUGGGAAACUAAAUAUACUCAUAAAAUAUAGAAAUCGUAUUUUCUUAGUAGGAAAUACAACUUGUUUGCUUGAUUUAUACCAUUCUCACUUUAAACACCCUUUCUCUCCCUAUUUACACUUCUCACUCUUCAUUUCAUCUUCAAUAGUUGUUUCCAAAAUAAGAUUCUAACCAAAUAACCCAAGAGGAGGGGUGUGAAUUGGGGUUUUUAAAAUUUUCUCCAAUAGCACACAAAUCAACUACUCCAGCCACCAAAAUCCAAUAAUAAUAAUAAUAGCAACAACUAAUAUAAAGAUAUAAGGGUAGAGAAAAUAAAUACAAUGAAUUUUAUGCGGUUCGACAAACUCGCCUACAUCUAUGCCUCCAAACAAUUCAAGCUUGAGGAUUCAACUAACCAAGUCAUAUAUUCCACGGUUUUCAACAAUGGAUGCAAUUGACUUCAAAGGUAUCAAUAAACCUUUACAAUCUUGAGGUGAUCCCACACCUCUUUACCCAACUGUUUUCCGCGCUUGCAACUUGUCAAUCUUACAAAUAGAGAUGAUUCUUAUAAGAUCAAACUCCUCGCAAGAGUAUAUGAGCAAGUUAUAGUUCAAUAAUGAAUUAUAGUAUGUAAAUAAAAAAAUGAAAGUGGAAAAGUACGCUUAGAAUGAUCGAGUUUUAGCUUGGAAAAAAGUUAUGAAUCGAGUUAGAGUUAGCUUUUUAUAGAUGGAUCAAUAAACUUGCCAUAACUCUCUCAAAAUAAGAUGCUAUAUGCACUAUUGGAUCACCAGUAAAUUUGAAGCGAAUAGCCGCUUGCUGACGUGACAUGUUACCUUUGAAGUGAUUUGAAAAUUUUAAGUCUAAUUAAAUAAACAGAUAGCCAUUUCAAAGAUAGAAUGUAACACAUUGUUAAUGGAUAACUGCUAACUGGGAGAAGGAGCACUGCUAAAUUUGACUUCUUAAUUUUUCAAAUUUCACACUUUGGCCUAAAACUUUAUAAACUUUCAAAUUAGAACAAAAAUGUUAUAAAACGUUUCAAAAAGGUUCUUGUCUAGAAUUUCAACAAUACUUGUAUAAUUUCAUCAUUUCUAAAACUCUUCAAAUUACUCCUUAUAAUUGAAAACAAACCUUUUGAUAAAAACACUUUCCAUUUUUCUUCAAGUAUAGAAACUUUAUAAUAUGAAAACAAUGAUAGAUUAAAUAUCAUGAUCAUGAAAAUAACUAGAGUUUUUAAAUGCUUAAUCAUGCACACAUUUAAUCAUACCAGUUUUAUAAGAAAUGUGACAAGAAAUAUCACUUAAGCUAGUAACCUUGAUGCCUUCCUUGACUUGAUGAGUUAUGUCCAUUGAAUACUUUAAACUUUAUCUCACAUGGAUGAUUUUUGUCCUUUAAGAGCUAGUGAGAUUGAAAGAAUAUGUUUUCUAUUUUAUCCUUGACAUGUUUUAUUGUCAUAAAAAUGAAGGUUUGUAUCACGUUUAGGUCAAUUGAAAUUUUAAACUGAAACAACUCCAACGGACUCAUUAAAUUAAGAUUUUCCAAGAAUAUCCCAAAUGUUUCAUGAAUCCAAACCAUAAGCAUUUUCCCCCGAUUCUUUCUUGCUUUACCCAUGAGCUUGCAAAUGGAAAAUGCUUUUCUUUUUACUUUUUUUUUUUAAAUUAGCUUAAUAUCAUAAAAAAUGGCUGAUGGGCUUGGGUUUUAAAAUUAAUAGUUUCGGCUUUGAAUUUGUUUAAGCCCAACACCAAUUAACUUAUAUAUUCAUAAGUUAUUAUAAUAAUAACUUAUAUAAAUAUGAUCAUAAGCGAAUGUGCUACACUUAAUUGUACUUAGUGGCACUAACAGCAGAGCAUUACCAAAUUUCUUAGAUUUAGUGCAUUACUUCAGUUAUAAUGUUCUUGGGUAUCCUUACUUCUCGCUAUGCAGAAGAAGAUUUUCUUGUGUCGUUACCAAGGAACUUAAUUAUUGGCCUCGUCACCUUGUUCUUUUCUAUUGCGAGCAUGAUGGUAGCCUUUGGUGCAACUGUUCACGUAUCUCUUUACCACAAAUGGAAUUUGGUGUUUAUUCCAAUUGCCUUUGUUGGAUUUGUCCCUGUCACCUUGUUUGCAUUGUUGCAAUUUCCUCUUUUGCUUGAUAUGUACUCGUCUAGUUAUGGUCACGACAUAUUUAUACAAAUCAGCUGGCCACAACAUUGUGCUAAAGGAAAUUACAAAAAUAGAGCUAUAAAAGAUGAUUAAAUGGGUGUAAUGUACCACUGAGUAAUUUCUUGUUGAUUUUUCAUGAUGCUUGUUCUAUAAUCCUUGACGAGUGUUUAGAACUGUGUACUUAAAUUUUGAUUGAAGAACUGAAGCGUAAAAUAGUUCUUCUGUCUGUUUUGAUCUCACAUUAGGUUCUUAUUGAUCUUUGCUGCUUAAUGUAAUAUUUGGAUUUGAUCUUUAGUUAUAUUCUUGGUUGAAGAAGGUCCACAAGAUCAACAUUUUUUAUCCGCCAAAGGACAUAUAUGAUUCUUUUAGUGGAUGAAAAACUAGAGAAACAAAACAAUUUUGAUUCUUGUUAUUCAAUAGUGCUCAAAGGUCCAAUCUGUCAACAUUUUGAAUGAUUUAAAAAAGUAAUAUAGUCAGAUGCAAUAUUUUCGGGAUCGAUCAUGCAUCUAUAUUUCUCAUUCCAUAAUAUGUCAAUGCCCCACCGAAAAGGGCAAAGAAAAGAAGAAAGAAGACAAAAGAGGAAGAAGAAAAAAAGAAAGAAAAAGAAGAAAAAAUGGGUGCCGGACCGAAGAAGGAAAAGGAAAAAAAAUAAUAACAAUAAAAUAAUAGUGCACAAUAGCUAAAUUUUGGCUAUAAAAGGGUGGCUCUCCUCAUUUGUAAAUCAUCGAAUUCUUUAGUUCUUUUUCUUAUUUAGAGAGCGAUUUUGGAGUCUAGUGAUUUGAGAGUUUGAGUGAAUUGGGGUUUUGGAUAGUAAGCUAAAAUACUAAAAUACUUGUAACUUCUUUUCACUAGUAAAAUAUUUUCCUUCUAUCUUCACCCGUGGACGUAGGCUAAAAGCUGAACCACGUAAUUUCUGGUGUUCCUAUGUGAUUUUGUGUCUCAUUAUUUCUCAAUUUCACUUUAGCUGUAUGUCUGCUUCACCCAUCAAUCUCCCAACAGUGGUAUCAGAGCUAUUGGUUGUAUUUUUUGGAGUCGAGUACUAUUCAUGUAUAUGGUAUGUUCAUAUAUACGGUAAUAUUCACGAGAAACGGUGGGAGCAAUCCAAGAAUUUUGUGGUGCAAAGCAAGGAAUAAUGGUGUGAGUAAACCAACUGUGUGGUUUUGUACAUGUCUAGGAAAGUUGUCACAAAGGCGAUAAGAGCCUAAAGAGUCUGGGUUUUAAGUGAGAUCGUUGUGACCCCUCCAGUCUUUCCUGGGAACUUUUCUGGUGUGCAUUCUCACACAUACUCACAACUAUUCAAGGUGGUACACUAGCUUGUGUGCGGUAUUUAUUAAUAAAAUGGCGGCAAACUAUGAAAUUGAGAAGUUCAAUGGGAAUAAUUUUCUCGUUGUGGAAUAUGAAGAUGUAGGCAAUUUUGAGGAAAAACAAUUGCUUAGCAGCAAUUGGAGAAAGGCCCAUAGAGAUAACUAAUGAUGACAAGUGGAUGAGAUGGACGGCAAUGCAAUUGUUGGUCUACACUUAGCACUUGCAAACGGGAUGUUAUCUAGUGUGGAGGAGAAAAAGACAAUGAAGGAAAUGUGGGAUACUCUCACAAAAUUGUACGAGGCCAAGUCACUACAUAACAGAAUCUUCUUGAAAAGGAAAUUCUAUACUCUUCGAAUGGCGGAAUCUACAUUGGUGACCGACCACAUCAACACCUUUAAGACUCUAUCAUCACAACUUACAAUGUUGUGUCAUAAAAUAAAGGAAAAUGAACGUGUAGAGCUUCUACUUCAAAGUCUAUUAGAUUCGUAUGAUUAACUCAUCAUUAACCUGACAAACAACAAUCCAACAGACAUUUUAGUUUUUGACGAUGUUGCAGUCUCCGUAUUAAAUGAAGAGAGCAGGUGGAAAAGUAAGGAAGACAGCCAAGCAAGUUCGCAACAAGCAGAAGCGCUAUAAGUGACGAGAGAGAGAUCAAUGGAACGUGGCCCCAGUAUGAGUCACAAUCAUGGUAGAUCAAAAUCCAUAAGUAAGAAGAAUGUCAAGUGCUACAAUUGUGGUAAGAAAGGGCAUGUCAAGAAAGAGUGUUAGAACAACCAAAAGAGAAGAGAGGGAAAAUAAUCUGAGUUAUCAAAUGCCCAGGGUUGUGUAGCAAGUACUUUGGAUGAUGGCGAGAUUAUCUACAGCGAGGCAACAACUAUUUCAAAAGGCAGAAAAUGGCUAUCUGACGUUUGCCUCAUAGACUCAUGAGCUACCUAGCACCUGACCUUUUGGAGAGAAUGGUUCCAUACAUAUGAACCUAUUUCAGGAGGAUCUGUAUAUAUGGGAGAUGAUCAUGCCUUGGAGAUCGCUGGUAUUGGUACCAUCAAAAUCAAAAUGUUUGAUGGUACCAUUCACAUAAUUAAGGAGAUACGACAUGUUAAAGGCCUGAAGAAGAAUCUAUUGUCUCUAGGAGAAAGAGACAGUCAUGGGUGCAAAACUCAUGUUGAAAAUGGGACCAUGAAAAUUGCUAGAGGCACGCUUGUAUCGAUGAAGGCAGAAAAGAUCAGUGCUAAUUUAUUUAUGCUUAAAGGAGAAACAUUACAAGAAGCUAAUGCGUGUGUCGCAUCAAAUGGAGAAAAAUCAAUGAUGAUAUGGCAUCUCAAACUUGGUCACAUGUCAGAGUAAGGUUUGAAGAUUCUCUCUUAGCAAAAAUUGCUUCCAGGGCUCAAAUUGGUAAGCUUACCAUUUUGCGAGUAUUGUAUUACAAGUAAGCAGUAUAGAUUAAAAUUCAAUAGAUCUAUUGCUAUAAGUAAAUGCAUUCUAGAAUUAGUUCACUCUGAUGUUUGAGAAUCACCAGACAUAUUCAUGGGAUGUGCAAAGUACAUGGUAACUUUCAUUGAUAAUUAUUCCAUGAGAUGUUGGGUGUAUCCAAUUAAGAAAAAGUCAGAUGUCUUUCAAGUGUUUAAAGAAUACAAAGCACGAGUGGAACUUGAAUCCGGUAAAAAGAUCAAGUGUUUGAGGACAGAUAAUGGUGAAGAGUAUAGAGACGGUGAGUUUCUUGCUUUCUGUAAGUAAGAAGGGAUUUAGAGGCAGUUCAUGGUAGCAUACACUCUUCAAUAAAAUGGAGUGGCAGAGCGGAUGAACAGGACUCUUACAGAAAUGAUAAGAGCUAUGUUGGGGACUGUUGGUUUACCCAUUUCAUUCUAGGCAAAAGCAGCCAAAACUGCCGGUUAUUUAGUAAAUCGGUCGCCAUCUAUAGCUAUUGGGCUGAAGACAUCGAUGGAGAUGUGGACUGAAAAACCAGCUGACUACUCCUACCUACAUGCAUUUAAAAAUCCUGUGUACGUGAUGUACAAUGCCCAAGAAAGAACAAAGUUAGAUCCAAAAUAUAGGAGGUGUAUCUUCUUGGGGUAUGCUGAUGGAGUAAAGGGGUAUCGUCUGUGGGACCUCACUGCCCACAAGAUUGUCAUCAGCAUAGAUGUUAUCUUUGUAGAAGAUCAACUGCAAAGGAGAGAUGAGGAUGAUAGCACUGUAAAAGAAAAUUUAGAGACUGUACCAAUAAAUGUGAAAAAUAAUCCAGAAAAAGAAGAAUCAAAUUCUUCUGAAGCAGCACCAGAGAACGAGGAACAAGAACCAGUCAAGUCUGAGGCUUUGGAAGUUCGUCGGUCAACUAGUGAGAGACGACCACCAACAUGGCACUCGGAGUAUGUCACAGAGAUCAAUGUUACUUACUAUCUUCUAACAGAGCAUGGAGAGCCAUUAACUUUCCAUGAAACUUUAAAUAGCUCAGAUGUUACUUUGUGGAUGACAGUAAUUGACACGACCUGCCCCGACCUACAUGUCUGAUUUGAGGUGAAUUGUGCAGACUAAUAACUAAAACUUGAGGCGCAAAUUUAAUUCAUGAAAAUAUGUAUCUAAUAUGGCAUUUCCUAUAAACACAUAACCACCUCUGUGCCUUUUCUGAAAUCAUAAAUGUAUUCAAAACUUGCAUAACUUAUGUCUCAUUGUACAUACUGACAUUACAUGUAUAUUUACAUAUAAAACAUAAGCAACAUAAACGUGCUCAAAAUGCAAGACAUACAGCAAUGCGUCUCGUGGCCCAACCUCAAUUAACUAGAACUUAUCUGCACGAAAUCUUACAGAAUCUUGGGAGAAAAGGAGUAAAUAGGAAAAUAAUGAGCUUGCGACUAGUGAGUGGAUGUAAUUAUAUAUAUUAAAAUAAUAAUAAUAAUAAUAUAGUGUACUAGUGCUUAUGCAUAAUUAUGUGACAUAACUCCACAUUGAAUAUCAUACAUUAGCAAACAUGGAAUUCAUACAUACAUACAUAUAUCACAAACUGCACUAAAUAAUACCUAGGGGAAAUAACUCUCAAUACUCGUCGGGAUCAUCAUCGCAUGAGUAGAGUAGAGGAAAAACCUCUCAAUACCCGACGGAAUUUAGCUACAUCGCUCGGAUAGAGUAACCUAACUCUCAAUACGCAUGCGCAGAGUCUAUGGGGACUGGUACAUAUAUGGUAACUGGCAAUCAAAUCUCAUGACUCAAUCAAACAUAUAAUAUGCGUACAUAUAAUCAUAAUAUGAUUUUAAAUCAUAAUAUCAAACAUAAAUGUUUCAUGGAAUACAUAAUAGUAAUAAUAGUAUCCAUUCACAGAUCUUGUUUCACUUUGGGGUUCGUUGAGGCUCUUGUAGGUUCCUGAAUUCUCGAGUUCCUCCUAAAAUAUAGGGUUUGAAAAUUAACUGUUAGAACUUAUAUAAAAACUUAUAUGUAUCAUGCAAACUGUAACAUAAUUGCUCAAAUUUUAUAAAUCUAUUACCCACUGGUUCAAUUGGAUUUAAUUCAACUAUCUAGUUCUAAUUUCCAUAUUAUUGCCUCCUAAUUCCACUUUAUUUCUCACACUGAGCUUCUUUUCUUCUUUUCUUUUCUUUUUCCUUCUCUUUUCUCUUUUCUUUUCUCUCGGUUUUUCUUUUUUCUUCUCUUGGUUUUGAUUUCACUUCGAAAAUGGAAGAACAAAUGAGAGCUGCUUUCAAUUAUUUCCAAUUAUAUAUACAUGGCCACCGACUCACAAGUGAAGCAUGCAGGUCAAAUAUGCAUGUGGCAAGCAAGGAAUGAAGUUGGCAUGUGGAGAAGUGGUGAAGCAGACAGUUGGUUGUUGCUUUUGAAAUUAGCCACGUUUGGCUCUUUUUUUUUUUUCCAAGCGGUGCAUGACAGUAAAGCAGGAAGAAAUUGAAGCUCUACACAAGAAUAAAACAUGAGAACUUGUACCACUACCACAUGGAAGAAAAGCCAUUGGAAACAAAUAGGUCAACAAGAUCAAACGUGAUGGCAAUGACCAAGUGGAGUGGUAUCGUGUAAGAUUGGUGGUGAAAGGAUAUGCUCAAAAAGAAGGUAUUGACUUUAAUGAGAUAUUUUCUCCAGUGGUUCGACUAACAAUAGUCAGAGUAGUCUUUGACUUACAUCUAGAGUAGUUAGAUAUGAAAACUAAAUUUCUUCAUGGAGAACUUGAAGACGAAAUUUAUAUGCUCCAACCAGAAGGUUUUGCUGAAAUAGGAAAGCAGAACUUGGUUUACAGGUUGAACAAAUCUCUAUACAGUCUUAAACAGGUGCCGAGGUGUUGGUAUAAGAGAUUUGAUUUCUUCAUCAUAAUCCUUGGAUACAGUAGACUUAGUUCAGAUCAUUGUGCAUAUUACAAGAGGUUUGAAGAUAAUGAUUUCAUCAUUUUGCUAUUGUACGUGGAUGACAUGUUGGUUGCAGGCCCCAACAAAGAUCGAGUCCAAGAAUUGAAGGCACAAUUGACUAGGGAGUUUAAAAUGAAGGACUUGGGAUCAGCAAACAAGAUUCUAGGGAUGUAAAUUCACCGAGACAUAAAUAAUAUGAAGAUUUGGCUUUCUCAGAAGAACUACUUGAAGAAAAUCUUGUGACGCUUCAACAUGCACGAUUGUAAGUCAAUUUCUACCCCACUCCCUGUUAAUUUCAAAUUAUCCUCAAAUAUGUGUCCUAGCAAUGAAGCAGAGAGGAAGGAGAUGUCUCGAGUACUGUAUGCAUCAGCAGUGGGAAGUUUGAUAUUCACUAUGAUAUGUACUAGACUAGACAUUGCACAAGCAGUAGGAGCAGUUAGUCGAUACAUGGUAAAUCCUGGUGGAGAGCAUUGGAUAGUUGUUAAGAAGAUUUUAAGAUAUAUUAGAGGAACCUCAGAUAUUGCAUUAUGUUAUGGAGGAUCAAAGUUUACUGUCGGGGGCUAUGUGGAUUCAGAUUUUGUAGGAGACCUUGCUAAAAGAAAAUUCACUACUGGCUAUGUGUUUACACUUGCGGGAGCAGCUGUAAGCUGGGUUUCAAAAUUGCAGACUAUUGUGACCUUAUCUACAACAGAAGCAGAGUACAUGGCAGCUACACAAGCUUGCAAGGAAGUUAUUUGGAUACAAAGAUUAUUGGAGGAGUUAAACCACAAAUAAUAGAAAAUUCCUGUGUUUUGUGACAGUCAGAGUACCUUGCAUAUUAUAAGGAAUCCAGUCUUUCAUUCCAGGACAAAACACAUAGGAGUUCAGUAUCACUUCGUUCAAGAAGUAGUGGAAGAUGGAAGUGUCGAUUUGCAGAAAAUCCAUACCAAGGAGAACCUAGCAUAUGUUUUGACCAAGCCAAUCAAUACUGACAAGUAUGUCUAGAGUAGAUUCUCUUGUGGCCUAGCAGAAAAGUAGGCAACAUGAGUAUAGGCGAAGCAGAAAGGAUGGUGUGGAGAUUGAUUGGUUCCCAAUCUAAUCUCCAAGUGAGAGAAUGUCAAUGGCCAUGGAAAAGGGCAAAGAAAAGAAGAAAGAAGACAAAAGAGGAAGAAGAAAAAAGGAAAGAAAAGGAAGAAAAAAGGAAAGAAAAGGAAGAAAAAAUGGGUGUCGGGCCGGAGAAGGAAAAGGAAAAAAAAUAAUUACAAUAAAAUAAUAGUGCACAUUAGCCAAAAUUUGGCUAUAAAAGGGUGGCUCUCCUCAUUUGUAAAUCAUCGAAUUCUUCAGUUCUUUUUCUUCAUUUAGAGAGCGAUUUUAGAGUGUAGUGAUUUGAGAGUUUGGGUGUAUUGGGGUUUUGGGUAGUGAGCUAAAAUACUACAAUAUUUGUAACUCUUUUUCACUAGUAAAAAUAUUUUCAUUUUGUUUUCGACAGUAGACGUAGGCUAAAAGCCGAACCACGUAAUUUCUGAUAUCCUUGUGUGAUUUUGUGUCUCAUUAUUUCUCAAUUUCACUUUAGCUGCAUGUCUACUUCACCCAUCAAUCUCCCAACAUAAUAGUCCCAAUUCUUUACAUAAUAUCAUUUUAUAACGACUUUGAUGUUUUGCUUUAUAUGGAUGUCAUGUUUGAUUGAGAAAAAUCUAUUCCUCAUAUUCUAAUCAUGACCUUUACCUUUAGAAUCAAUAUCGGUUCCUAUAAUCUUCAUUUGAUUUCUAUCAUCCCCUAAAAUUGGAUAUUAGAAUUUGCGAUAAAAAAUUUUAGACUACCACCUUUUCCAUAUCAUGAACUAAUUUGGUUAAAAAGGACAAGAACCUACCAUACUUCUUAGAGAUAAUUUACUUCCAUCCAUCGUGCUGGCAUUUAUGCUUGUCUUGAGUUAGUGAAAGUGAAAGUUUCCCAAUAUGAAAGAACGCAAAGGGAAGAUGCUAUUCUCCAAUUAUUAUUGACGUGGUCGCUAAGUAAAGCCUAGAGAUACGAAACCUCUCAUGCAAAUUUAGUAUCUAUAAGAACGCAAAAGCCCCGAUUUCCUUUAAUUUUGCAACAUCAAUUUUUCUACUCUUUAAUUUUUUCACCCAAAAUUAUUCACCACCACCACCACUCUAGCUGCUUCGUGGCCGCUGCCAGUCGUCAUUCCUCUUCUUCUUCACAGGUUCUCUUUUUUUUUUCUUAAAAGAAUUCUAAUUAACGGAUUUAUGUUUUUAUCUGUUUUAAUUAACUUGGAGUUGACUAAUAAUUAUUUUUCAGUGUGCAAAGUUUUGGGAUUGACAGUCUUUACUGAUAAUCGUGGUAUGUAGCUGAAAAAACGAUAAUGUUUCUAUAAUGUUACGGACGCUGUAAACCACAUGUAAAGUCCUUUAAAAUGGUUUGUAUGAAUUUAACUUCAUUAAUCAAUUAUAUUUAUUAUGAAUUUUAUCUAUGUAAUUUAUUUAGGUUUCUUCGCCUUUUUUUUUCUUACUCGAGUAAUCUUCAAGUUGCCCCUUUUUUGGUCCCUUUUUCUGUCCUUCAGCAGUCGCGUUGUUUUACAUUAGUAAAGUUACCAGUUAUUAUUAUUAUUAUUAUUAUUAUUAGUUUAUAAAGAUUAGUUUUACCCCCAAAAAAGAAAAAAAAAAAUUGAUCACACUACAGAAUAUAUUCCUCAGCCAAUGGUCGUUUACUCAAUGUUAAACCGAGGUCUUUUUAAUUAAUAGCUAAAGGAUUAUUUCCUUUACAUUGUUUUUUUUCUACAUGUUUUUUUUUCCCUUAAAAUCUGUACUUACUGCAUGGGUGAUUAAUAACCAACGUUUGCAAUUAAGAAAAUAAACCACUCGCGUUUUGGCCUGUAUUAUUUAGCGCAUUUUAUUAGGAAAGCGAGCAUCACAUUAAUUUUAGCCUUUUAAAAUUUUUAAUAGUAAAUUAGUUCUUGUUUCAUAUAUAAAUUGACUAUUCAAUUUAUUAUUUUGACUCACAGGGUGGGAACCCCCCCGGUGAUAUUCAAGUUAUUUGUUUUAUUAAUAAAACUAGAAAAUAGAACCGCGCUUCACGCGGCUUUGAAAAAAAAAUUUAGUAUUAUCAUUUUUUCUUACUUUACACUUGAUGAAACUGAUAAAAAAUAUAAAUUGAUUUUCUUUAAGAUGAGGCAGCCUUAUAAAAAACAAAAAAAAAACUAUUAACCAGUAAUACAAAUAAAGAAGCAGCGCAAGAUAAAAAAUAAAAUGAGAGAAUAUAUUAUAGAGUAAUUUUAUGCAUUCCAAUUGUGUGUGUACAAAACAAAAAGAUGAGCACUCCUUUUAUAGUUACAUAAUCACUCUAUGAAAUUAAUGAAAAAUUAUGGAUCAUAAUUCCUUGUGAGAUAGUGGGAGUUAUAGGGAAGCUAAAGGUUGCUAAUGGGAGAUAGUGGGGAGACUGAAAAAUAUAUGUUAUGAAUAUCUAUAUUUAUUUUAAUAAAUUCAUAACACUCCUCCUUGGAUGUUCAUUACAAAGAAUAUGUCUCAUUAAAAUCUUUACAUAAUUGUUAUUGUGUAAUAACAAUCAAAUUAAUUAUGAGAAGAUGAAAAGCAAAAUCUAAAAGAAAAUUUCUCUAUUUAUUAGAUAAUAGAGAAUCUACAAAAAUGAGAAAUGGUGAUGUUAUAUCACCUCCUCAAGUCCCAGCUUUAUAUAUAUAUAUAUAGAUAUGCUGGUUAAGUUUACUCUUCCCAUCUUGUGAGUCAAAAUUAGGAAACAAAGUCUUUGAGCUAUUUGAUAUUGAGGUUUUAUAAUUUUUAAUCACAGUUAUUGUGAGGAAAAAAAAAGUUUGUUAUAGUGUGUUGGAUAGAUAUGAUUUACAAAUAAUGUCUUUUACAAAGCUAUCCAACACACUAUAACAAGCUUAUGAUUCGAUACAAAAUUGAACAUUUCUAUCUUUGCUUCAAUUCAAAUAUUGAUAUAUCUAUCUUUGCUUCAGGUAUAGAAAAGAAAAACACCGAGAAAUUAAGUUUAAUUCCAAACUCCGAAUAUGGAAGAAGCCGGCAGAUCAUCAAACCCAGAAGCAAAUGAUCAAAGCAAUUUCUCCAAGUAAGAAAAUAAAUACCCUAUAUACGUGUAUCUGAUAUCAGGUAUGCGGAAUUGAUUUAUUAAUAUUUUUGAUGUUACAAAAUUCAAUUGAUGGAUUGCGUUUUGAUUCAUUAUUAUACUGAAAUUAAAGCUUAAAAUCUUGAAAUGUAUUUUGAACUUAAUUAAGUUUUUAGAAGGCCUAUAGUUAAUUAAUGAUAUUGAGCUCGCUCUAACCCUCCUCAAACUCACACAGAAGUAAAUAAAAAUUGAGCUAAUAAUAAAGUUACCCCAAAUUUUGAAUUAAUGAUAAAUUUACCUAAAAGAUUUGCUUUUGAUGGGAUUGAGGUGGAAUUUAUUGGUAGAACGCAUAUAAUUUUUCGUGGAUCCACCUAGCGUAACUAGCUGAAAACUAUACACUUAUUCUCCAAGUGACUGUUGUUAAGAAUUAUCACGAUUACUAUUGUUUAGUCCUUAUUAACAAUUCAAAGUCUGCAACGCACCUGAGUCAGCGAUGGUGCGUGUAUAUUGUUUAACAAGAAACUACUCACUUUAAAAAAGUGGGGUGAAGUUAAAGGACAAAAACAAAAAUCUUAAUGCAAGUGUUUACGUUUUUUUUUUUUAAUUAUAUUAAAUUUCAUAUUAUUUUUCCUUUUAGCUCUAUCUCUUUUGAAAAAAAAAAUCAACAUUUUUUUAACUAGGAGAAAUUAUAUCUACACCAUAUUUCUUUUACCAUAUGUACAUCUAACUACUAUAAAAUUUUGACACGUACUUUGCACCAUCUUUAUUUUUAAACUUGUAUCAAUUAACCAUUUUGACCUUUAAAAUAAUCAUUUUACCCCUAAAUAAAUUAAAACACAAAUUUAUUCUACAAAAUAUUAAAAAAUAUAAAGAUUAUAAUUAUAAGAAUACCCCUAACUUUUAUAAAACAAAUAAAUUUCAAAAUCUAAGAUGAUAAUUCACUACAAGAAAAAAGACCUACUAUGACAGGCAAAAACUAUCAUCUUAGGGGGUAGAUGACAGUUGUCUUUACCGUCAUUGUAGCCAGCGACAAGAAAAGAUGACAGACAAAAACUAGUCAUGAGUUGUGAUAGAAUUUACCUAUCAUAAUUCUGUCAUACUAUUUAUAGGAGGGAAAUUAAAUUUUUUAAAAAAUUUUGGUGGAAAAAAAUAAAUUUUACGAAAUUAAAAUUAUAAUUAUUUUUUUGGACAAAAGUUGUGUGUCAUAUACUGACUGAUAUUUUCUAUCACAAUUUUUAAAAAAUUAAUAAUUAAUUAAUUUAAAAAUAAAAAUUUAUGCAAUUUCAGCUGCUUCAAUUUAAAAUUUAAAUUAUUAAAUUUAUAUGAGAGAAAAUAAAUUACUAAAUGCAAUCAAAUACAAAACCAGUGAAUCAAAUUAGUGAACUUUAUUAUCCAUAAAAAUAACUAAAGUACAAAAGCAUACAAUUCAAGCUUUACAAUAUAUAAGUUGAACAAUAUUCCAAAGUUAAGCCAAUAGAAAACAAAGGCCAAUCCAAAACCAAGUGAUGCACUUAGCAUUCAGCAACAUCAGCACCAAAUCUAUGCAAAUGUAGUCCUUUUCUACCAGCAAAAUCCAGCAGCCCCUCAGCCAAGUAAAAUGUACCCCAUUUCAUCAAUCGAAAAUAUCCAGAAAAAUAAGUAUUUACACAUGCAAUUAAUUGAAUAUGAAAAUAUUCAAUGAAGAAUAAGGCCAGACCCUUUUUUCCCCUUCUCUAAAGUAAGGCAUUAAAAAAGAUUGAAGAAAUUUACGCAACAAAAUAAAUAAAAAUAUAAAUUAUAUAGUACUAUUAGUUGUGUAUAACACCUACCACAUAGACAAAGCAUCCACAGCAAUCUCUGCGUUCUGCAGUUUCCUGUCAUUAAGUAAUGAUAUAUAAAUAAAAUUAAAAUCAAUAGCUAUAGCUGUAAUUCUUAGGCCAAAUCAAAUUUAUAUGUACUUAAGUUCAUGAUUCUUUAAGUUUUGUUCUCUUUAGCAUGCCUUCCUACUGGUAAUCAUCUCAUGCCUUAUUAAAGUUUAAUACUGUUUUGAAUUAGAAUAUACCAAGAAUUUGAGUGAAUGCUAGAAUUAUAACUCUUUAAGAUUAAUGCAUUGCAUGCUCAGCCUCAGCAAACUUAUCAAUCAAUGUUUGCAUACCCGAAAAAGAGAUUGAAAAGAAAAACAGGAAUUAAAGAACAACUAAUAUAAGCAAUUCCUUACUUAAAAAGCUUGAUAUCACAUUUCAGAAUAAAAAUAAACAUAACAAAGUUUCCUUACCCAAAUUUACAUGAACAUCAUCAUCAACUUUGAUGCCACGGGAUAGGGAUUCCCCCACUUCCCUCGAGCCCCCUCACCUACAAAAUUCUGCACCCCCCUUGGAAAAAGCUGUAGCAAAAAUAAGUUUUUGUCUUGGCUGACAAUUCCAAGUAGCCCUUUAUAUGUUCUGGUAUGUAUAGUCCCAACAAACAAAUGAGAAGAUUUAUCAGAAUUUUUGAAAUAUAUUUUAAGACUAACAGGAUUGUGAAUAAACACCAACAAGAGCAUCAAAGGAACCAGAAAGAAACAUCACCAACCUUAAGAAGUCUCCAUGCGUCUUUUCCUCUGCUUCAUUAGCUUUAUUAAGAAUUCCACCUGAUGUUGCACUAGUGAAAAAAUUAUAUUCAAUGAAUAAAUAAUUGGAAACUUCAAAGUCUGCAGUUAACUAAAUUACUAAUGACGAUUAAGAGAUUCACUCCGCAAAUUAUUCAAGAAACUUUUGCAGAUAAUACUAAUUAGAUUUUUCAGAAAAUUUUCAAUAUUCUUUUCAUUCCCACUGAAGGAUCAAGCAUUAUGAGCCAAAAUGCAAACACAGGGCAUUACUUGAGUAGCAACUUAACCAUUUGUCACAAGUUGUACAAGACUUUUCAAUCCAAAAGAAGACUGAAUUGUAGAAUAAAAUCUAAGCCUAUCAUUAAAAGCCCAAACGAACAUUAUUAACUAGAUUUAUAAAUUUCUUGAAUCCUAAAACGGAAAAGUUCAUUCGUAUAAAGUUAUCAGUUCCGGCCUCACUGUUCUACUCAUCCCCGUCUCGCUCAAUUCAGCCGAUUCAUAAAGCAGCUCAAGAAAUGUUUCUAAAAUUUAAUAAAUGAGAAAAUUCUAUAAUGAAUUAUUGUAAUACUAAAACACAAGAUUACCCAGAAAUGUAAUAGAACCUUUAACAAACACAUGGAAUGCAAAACCCAUAUCUAAAAAAUAUAUCAUUAAUGCAAGAGUCGGAACAACAUCCUAUACUAUAUAUAGAUUUAUAAUCACAAAUCGAGUGAGAGAAACAAUCAAACAAAACAAUAAUGCAAAAAAAAAAAAUUGAAACCCACAAAAAAAAAAUCAUACUUAAGGUUUAAAAGAGAUGAGAACUUUGAAACUCGUGUCGAAGAUAGUUGAGAUAACAGCGAAGCUCACCAUCACUUGCUAGAAAUCGCUGAGAAAUAGGUAAAGCUUGCUUGCGAAUGAGUGUGGCUUUCAGGGAUUCUUGAUGGCUAGGGUUUCGGCUGUCGUCGAUAGGUAAGGUUUUGGUUUCGAUUUAGGACUGAAUUUGAUUCCACCGUGGCAAAGAAAGACUGCGGCGGGUCAGCGGCGAGCCAACGACAGUGAGGGUUGUCAUUGUCAGUGAGGAGCGAGCUACAUUCGAGAGAGAGAAGUUUUAGAGUAAUGAGUGGGUGUGGCCUUAACACGUGGGGGAAAAAGAGGUUGAAAGACUGAUAAAUGUGUGAAACAACGUCGUUUCACUUCUUUCUUUGUUUUGAUGUUGUUUUAUUUUUUAUUUUUUAUUAUUUAGAAUUUUAAAAAUUUCGGUCAAAUCUAAAGUCAAAAUAAAAUUCUAUCAUAAUUUCUUGAUAGAGAAAAUAUAUAUCAUUAGUUGGUCAUAAGUAUUUGACAACAGUAAAUUCUACCACAUUUUUAUCAUAAAUUUUUUAUAGAAAAAAUUUAUGUCACAUGUAUGUCGUACUUAUAAGAUAUAAAGUCUUUUAGCCAAAAACUGUCACAUGAGUAACUGUCAUUAUAGGUCAUUUUUCUUGUAGUGUAUAUUUUUAAAUGAAAUUAUAAUUAUAAAAAACAUCAUCUUGUGAUUAUAAUUUUUGCAAUUUUAAUUUCAUUUUAUUUUUGUAAUUAAAUUAUUUAUAGGGAAGUUUACAAAAAUUAACAUGAAAAGAAAAUUUUUAUAAUUAUUGUAAACUUUCCUAUAAUUAACAUUAAGAAACUUUCCUAUUCAAAUUGAAUGAAAUUAUGAUUACACAAAAUUAACAUGAUAAUUUUUAACUGAAAUUAUAUUUAUAAAAAAUUAGCCUAUUGAAUUUAAAAUUUAUUUAUUUUAUUAAAUUCUGAGUUAUUCUUACAAUCAAUUUUAUUAUUUUUCAAAAUUUUAUAGAAUAAAAUGGAAUUUUAAUUCAUUUAGGGAUAAAAUGAUCAUUUUUAAGUGUCAAAGCAGUUGGUUGAUACAAGAUUAAAAAUAAAGGUGGUGCAAAAUACAUGUUAAAAUUUUAUGGUGUUUAAAUAUACAUAUGACAAAAAAAAAUGUGAUUCAGAUGUAAAUUCCAUUUUGACCGCCCUCUCUACAAUUAACUCUUGAGUCUACCAUUGGCGAUCAUCUAGAUGACUAGAUUGUAAUAAUAACUUCUCUGAUAUGUUAUCCAUUUUUGAGCUUAUCUGCAGAAACAAAACCGAAGAUGAAAUCACUGUGACGGAGCCAAAAAUAAGUAAACAAACUAAAGAUGCACCGAGUUCAAUAGGUAAAUAAGUAAUUAACAUAAAGAGAUUAAUUUUUAAUUUUUAAUUUACUGAUUCAAUUUCAGUAUUAUUAGUUAAUUUUUCAGAAUAAUAGUAACAAUUAUAUAAUUUAUAGAUUCUGUUUUCAUGAUGAUUAACUCAGAUGAUCAAGGGGAGGAUGAGUAUUAUGCUCGUUAUUGGCCGCUAUACAGAAUGAUAGAGAAGAAUGAUUGGCUAGGUGUGGAAGAUUUCGUCACUAAUGAUCCCGAUGCCUUGACCGCCAAGACUUUUGCACCGGGUUCAAAGACAAUAUUUCACGCGAUUGUGGAGUCGUUGGUUGAUGUUGAGUCAGAUGACGCCACAUGCCUCCUCGAUAAGCUGGCGUCAAAGGUUGAUCAACAAACACUAGCACGACUAGAUGAACAUGGGCACACCGCUCUAUAUCAGUGUGCGGGAAAAGGGAAUCUAAGGGCCUUAAAAGUCCUAGUGAAGUAUAACCCUGAUUUAACAACCAUAAGGAGCAAGGGAGACCACCUUCCGGUUCAUAAUGCAGCGUAUAAGGGUCAUAAGGAUACGUUUCGGUAUCUACUAGAGGUGACUCAUGGAGUAGACAUCUACAGCGGCAACGAUGGUGCCAGAGUGCUUUCAUAUCUCAUCGACGCUAAUUUAUACGGUCAGUAUUAUUAACCUUAACGUUUCAAGCUAACACAUAUAAACCAAUUUUCAAGUUAUACUGUCCAUGUAAAGCUUGUCGAACCAACUUUUUUCUUUUAAAACCUCAAGGCUAGCUAACGCUAAACCAUAACUUAUAAUUAACAUGUGUUUUUGACAACUCUGAUAUAGAGGCCUUCUGUGGUGAAAAUGUCCGCAUGAAACUCGGUAUGGACGAGGAGUUUACAGCGUGAUAAAAGUAGACAGCCUGCACCUGAGAAUUUUUCUCUGAAGCAUAUUUUUCAAAUUCUAUGCACAUGAACAUUAAUCAAAUAAAUUCUUAGUGCCCAUUCUUUAAUAAAACUUUUAUUACUUUAAUGCACAUUAAUCAAAUAAAUAUUUCAGAUAAAUAAUAUGAUUAAUUUUUUUGUUUAAAAGAAAAUUACUCAUAAGACAACGAACUUACUGAACUCCGAUAGAAAAUAUUGGGGGGUCAAAAUUCUUUGAAGAUGAACCCAUUAAUUAUCACGCAAUGGUUAAGAACUCUUGACGGUAUCGAGCAGAACGACCUGUUCUUCCUGACUGUCCAACACUGCAUUAAUUUAAUCGAUUAUCCCAUUGUGUUUGCAAUUUUAUCAAAUGCACAUUUAAUUGUUUUAAUAUAAACAAUUAAAUUUUGUUUGCCGCUUUUGUUAAACCAAAUUCCUGUUUCUACUGUUGAUUGCUUGGUUAUACUUUAGUUUUAUUAUCUUCGUUUAUAUGAUGCUCGCAUUAUAUAGAGAUCAAAUACAUCGCCACUACUCUGACAUUGUUCAUGAAUCAGAUGUAGCUUUGGAUUUAUUGAAGCUUCAUCCAACGAUUGGCCGUGACAGCAUCGACUCUCGGGGAAUUGUUCUAAACAAGUUGGCUCAAAAGCCUUACGCGUUUGCAAGUGGGAGUCGGCUUGGACGUUUGCAACGCUUAAUUUACAAUUGUUGGUGUCAAUAAUCCUUUAUGAGCACAUACACAAACAUCUAUAUAGUGAUCCUCCAAUGAAGGAGCUCUCAUUUUAAUAAAAUGAGGAAGCACUAAUUGGAAGAUGACCCCAUAUAGAUGUGCGUAUAUAUAGAGUGGUUAUUUGUGUGGCCUAAAAAAACCAAGUAAAUAAAUUUGCAGGCAUUCCUGUGGAAAAGAAACUAGUUCCUUCCAUUCAGACCAAAGAUAAUCAAAAUGUGGAUGGAGACAUGGAGAACCUUAUCGUGACAUCAAAAAUCCACUCAAAAACAUCCACACGUUUUGGAUCUGCUAAGCAAAUCACUACGACAUUUGGUCUGUAAAACUGUUAUAUACUAAGUCUUCUUGAAUUUAUGACUCUGAAUUGAAAGGCAUUUCGUUUGUUUAUACGUAUGACAGGUGCAACGUGGCAUAAAUCGUAUUGGAUGCUCUGGAAUGCCCUCAUGCGCCUAGGUAAGUCUUGAGAGGCUGUGUUCAAUUAAAAUAUAGUUGUUUGAAAUUAAUUUAUUUAUUUCCCUUUUAUUGAUCGAGUUCAAUUGCAGCCCCCAGCAUGAAAGCUAUACAUGAACAAAAGUUAGCGCACAUGCAGACAGUUGAAAUUGUCAGAAUUAUCUGUAAAGAAGUGAUUUGGACCUGCCACAGAAGAGAAUUGAAGGGGGCAUUGUUCACAGCUGCAAGAUUGGGGAUACACGAGUUUGUCAAUGAAUUUAUUAUGGCCUAUAACAAGACUGCAAAUGUGUUGAAUGAGGAUCGGCGUAGCAUAUUUGAUGUUGCAGUUUUACAUCGUCGUGAAAAAGUUUUUAAUCUGAUACAUCGUGUGAAUUUCACAACAAAUUUAUUUUUAACAGAAGGCAAUUCUGGCAACAACAUCCUGCAUUUAGCGGCAAAGUUGGUACCUUCAAGUGAAGUGGCUGGUGCAGCAUUGCAGAUGCAGCGGGAGUUGCAAUGGUUCAAGGUGUGAUUGCUCAUCCGACAACUUAAUACACCUUUUUAUAUUUAAUACAAUUUGAUGUUUGUGGCACAAUAGGAUAAAUAAGUAUUGAUAUUAAGACAAAAUUAAGAUAUCAAGAAACAAUGCCGAUUUACUCAAUUGAAAAAUAAGGUAAACCGGCGCCGUUUUUAACUUGUUUCUGUAAGCGUUCUAUCACUUUGGCAUUUGCAGGACAUAUGUAAGCGUGAAAAAGCAUAAACAAUUCUUCAAAAUGAAAACUUCCGACUAAUUUCUUAGUCCAAAUGCCUUUAGUUAUCAUCUUCCCAUGAAGUACAUUGGGCCUUUCUGCACCUAGAAAUCUACCUUAAAAGAAACUUUUAGUCCUCGUGUUUAUGACUUCUUCUCUGUAGGCGGUAGAAAAACUUAUCCAUCCAGACAUGCUAGGAGAUGAAAAUAGUUCCAACCAAACUGCUAGGGAGGUCUUUACUGAAGAACACAAGGAAUUAGUGAAAGAAGGAGAAAAAUGGAUGAAGGAAACAGCUUCAUCUUGCUCAGUUGUAGCUGCACUCAUUAUCACUGUUGUGUUUGCCGCAGCUUUCACUGUACCUGGCGGCAGUGACAGCAAAGGAAUACCAAAUAUUUUACAUGAACCAUCUUUCAUGAUUUUUGCCAUUUCAGAUAUACUGGCGCUAUUUUCUUCCAUUUCUUCAGUUCUAAUGUUCUUGGGCAUCCUCACUUCACGCUACGCAGAAGACGAUUUUCUUCUGUCGUUACCAAGGAAGUUAAUUAUUGGCCUCGUCACCUUGUUCUUUUCUAUUGCAAGCAUGAUGGUAGCCUUUGGUGCAACCGUUCACAUAUCUCUUUCUCAUAAAUGGAAUUUGGUUAUCAUUCCAAUUGCCCUUGUUGGAUGUGUCCCUGUCACCUUAUUUGUAUUGUUGCAGUUUCCUCUUUUGCUUGAUAUGUACUCAUCUACUUAUGGCCGCAGCAUCAUCAUAGAUAGCAGUUGGAGAGAAUUAGCUAGCUGUGACUUGGUUGCUAAAGGUAGCUACAAAACACGGUUAUAAAAGCUGAUUAAAUGGUGUUAUUAUCCCACUGUGUAACUGAUUCAUUUCUUGUUGAUUUUUCCUGAUACUUUUUCAAUAAUCAUUGUUGAGUGUUUAGAGCUGUGUACUUGAAUUUGGUUUAUAAAAGUCCACUCUGAGGCUGGUUCGAUUGAGGAACUGAACCUUAGAAAAUUUAUUCUGUUUGUUUUGAUCUCGUUUGGAUAAUAAUUGAUCUUUGACCAUAUUUGUUUCAUUGAGAAGGAACUAUUCAUCUGAUUCCAAUCAGAACUUUCCCUUUCGGAACAAUAUUUAUUCCUAUGAUUUUCAUUUGAUUUCUAUCAACUGGCAAUUAAAAGCUGCGAUGAAAAUUUUUGGACUACCAGCCUGUCUGGGAUGCUCGAAAUCCUUGGUCGUACGGUGACUAAUGGCGCCUAUUUCCUUAAUGGAAACCAACCUCACAAUGGCUUUUUGUUAACAAAAGUGAAGAACAAAAUUCUAGAGCACUCUAGAAGGUUACGGAGAAACAAGGAUUGUGAAAAAUUGAGGCUUAGAUCAAAAGGGAAUCGAAAAACCUCAUUUAAGGCUCUGUUUUUCACCUGCUGGACUACUGACUAAUUUUAAUUACAAGUUCAAAUAAAAUGUUCUAAACACUUAAGAAGGAUUAUAGAACAAUGAAAAAUGUUGAAUUUAAACUCCGCAAAUAACCAAGUUUAAUUCCCCAAGAUCCACUCCUAAGCACUUAAAUCUCAAAAUUACACCUAUAAAGAUCAAGCUUAAUGCAAUUGACUCUUAACGAUUCAAAAAUGGUAACCAAAACAACAAGAACAGAAACAAAAUUACACAAUUUGACAGUAGAGAUUUAUAGUGGUAUGGCUUCAAGCAAACCUACAUCCAUUGCAAAAAGAGAAACAAUAUUUCACUAAUUUGGGUUUCUCAAGACUCAAUAUUGCAGAGAGUGUGUGACAGGAUCACCAUAUCUCAAUAACCACUCAUGAGGCCUUAUAUACAGAGAGAUAUUCAUCUAGAAAUGUCCACUAACAGCCAGCUCACGUAUUUCUGGGUUUGUUAUCAAAACCCACAAGCUUCACAUGCAUAUAACGGCCUUAACAGCCAUUUGCACCCAUUGAUGGACACGUGUCAAUGCUUCAUCCACUCUGUUAUGUAAAACAGCAAAUGUAGCUGUUGAAUUUGAUAAGUGAUGCACGUGAAAAUCACGUGUAUCACCUAGUCUUCCAGUUGACAAUACAUAAAUGUCAGAAGUCCCUCCGGAGCUCUACAAAUGACAUGUCAUACAUGCAAGAGCAACAUGUCAUAAAGGUCUAAAGAAUGUAACCGACUUGUCAUUCUUGAUCAUAAACCCAGAUUUGAGCUUGAUCCUUCAACAAAAAAAGACCAAGAAAUGGCUUAGUGGAAGUAUAUCUAAAAUGGCAAAAAUCAUAGAAGAUGAUUGAUCCCAGAAAUUGGGUAUUCCUAUGCUAUAUAUGUAUCUACCACCUCGUACAUUGAGAGUUGUAGUGAAAAGUAUUGUGAUUAUGAGUGCAACAAUUGAGCAACAUGAAACUAAAGAUGGUUUAUCAAUAUGUGAUGAUGAAAAGUAAAGCCUUUAGGUUCAACAGCUAAUUCCCUAUUUAACCUUAUAAAUCGACUUACACCAUUCUACUUUCUCGUUCGCAAGCCUCUUUAUUGGAUCCCAAGUAUGGUUUUUGAUCAAUGACUACAUUUCCUUAUCAAUGGCUUCCUACCAUUUUUAUUAUCUAUCACUUUUAGCAGCCUCUGAGUAAGUCUUUGUUUUAUCAAUUUCAACCUCAUGUGUUGUUGUUAAUGCAAAUGUUAUCAGAUCUACACAUGCAUACCUCUUAGGUUGCUUUAUUACCCUUUUUCUCUCUAUCUCUCACCAACUAAUAGUCUCCAAUUUCUUGAUCACUUGUUUGCUCAUCUUCUGAUUCAGAAAUGUCCAUAUCGGAUCCUGAUUCAUGUUUAGUUCUUGGUUUCCACUUCGUGUUAGAAGUUGACAACUCUGCCCCAAAAUGAGUCUUCUAAUCUCUCACGUUGGGCGGCUCUAUGAUAUCAGGUUUACAAUGAGUUAAGUUUUGAAGCAUUUUAGACUCAUUAAACAUAACAUCUCUGCCGAUAAUAGCACUUGAUGACUUUAAAUCAAUACAAUAGAGUUUGUACCCCUUCACUAUUUCAGGAUAGCCAAGAAAUACACAUUGUAAGCCUUACUUUCUAGCUUUCCUUGCUUAGUGUGUGAAUAUAAAGGCAAACCAAAGACCCUCAAACCAAAAUAGUUUGUUGAUCUACCAAACUAAAGCACAAUAAGUGUUUAAAAUCAAUUCCAAGUAAAGGGCUUCUAUUCAGCUUAUAGCAAGCUAUAGAUAGCUGUAGAUAAAGCUUCUGCUCAUAGUGUUAUCGAUAACUUUGAAUGAAUAAGCAUGUAUCUUACCUUAUCAAUCAAAGUUCUAUUUCAUCUUUUCAGCUAAUCCACUCUACUAAGGUAUGUAUCUCAUUGUUUUGUGUCUCACAAUCCCAUGCUCAAUACAAUAGCCAUGUCACCUCUUAUUACAAAACUCUAAAUCACGAUCAGUCUUCAACCUCCAAACCUUUCUAUUUGUUUAAUUCUGAACUAAUAGUUCUAAGCCUUGAACUAUUCAAAUACAUCAUCCCUACUCUUGAACAUAUAUACUAAAACCAUCCUUAAAAAGUUAUUAAUGAGAGAUAAGAAGUACUUUGCCCUAUCUAAAGAAGCUGUUUGUGUUGGUUUCUUUGAUACAUAAGCACUAUAACUAAAUUUGACUCUUGAAGACUUGUCAAGGACAUAUCGUCGUAGAAACUCUUGGUCUCUAUCUUGUCCUUUUCUAAAAACCCCUGUUUUGACAUCUCUUUAAACCCCUUUCACUCAUAUAACCUAAACUCAAAUGCCACAACAUUGUUCUAUUUAAAUUUUGGUUUGACACCUCACCAUCACUUGUAACAGUUGACCCUUGAAGGACAUAUAGGCCAUUGUUCAUAUCUCCUUUCAUUAACACCAUUGAUUUUUUUAUUACCCUUAAGGUACCAAAUUCAAAUUUAAUUAAACAUCCCAUUUUAUCGAGCAUACUAAGAGAGAUAAGGUUUCUUUUCAGUUCAGGCACAUGUCUAACGUUCUUCAAUUGCCUAAUCAUGCCAUCAAACAUUUUAAGCCUAAUUAGGCCUUUACUAAUUACCUUAUAGCUAGUAUCAUUACCUAUUACAAGUAACCCACCAUCACAAGCUUUAUAGUUCAUGAACAAACUCUUAUUAGGGCACAUAUGGAAUGGACAACCAAAAUCUAGAAUCUAAUUACUUAUGGUUUGGCCAUCUGUAGUUAUAAGAACUCUAGUUGGGUCAUAGCCUGACCCUUUGAUGCAUAGUAGCAUCACCACUCUUUUCCUUUAAGUCUUUGUUCUUGUUUUUCCUCUCAGGGCAGUCUUUCUUGAAAUGACUUCCUUGUAGCAUUGGAAGCAUUUCAAGUUCUUUAGUCCGAAUUUCGAUAUUUGUUUUUUCCCUUUGCCACUUUUUCUAUUUUCUGUUCUCCCUUUACUGCCAAGCCUUCUCCAUCUCUGGAUUCUUUCUUUGUUGCAGCCUUAGAACUCAAAGUUUCUUUGACAUCCACUAUGGUAAAGGUUUGUCUCACAUACAUCAAGGUGUCAACAAGAUACUCAUAAGAGCUUGGCAAUGAACAAAACAAGAUCAUGGCUUUAUCCUCAUCAUUAAUUUUCACAUUAAUGUCUUCAAAAUCUACUGUAAUCUUGUUGAAAGCAUUAACGUGAUAUGAUGGGGAUGACCCUUCUUCUAUUUGCCUUAGACUUCUUAGUGUACAAGUUUUCAAGCUUCUUCCAUAACAUGGCUGCUAUCUUCUCACUACUAACUACUCAAAGUACUUCAUCUUCAAAGACUUAAGAUUAUUGCAUUGUGGGCUCUAUCUAAGACAUUUGGCAAGUCUUCAUUAGACACUUUCCUUGUCUUCUUAGAUGAUGAGGCCUCACCAUGUGCCUCAUCUAGCGCUUGUGUUAGAGUGCAAUUUAUGCACUAAUUUUGCAUUGUUUACUUCCCUUAAUAUCGAUGUUUUGCACUUAAUAAUGAUGAUUUACUUGUGUUUUACUUUUGUAGGUGCAAUUCUAUUUAUUUGUGAUAAAAUUGAGCUAUAAGAUGAUGUUUAAAGAUGAUUGUUCUCUUGGAGAAAUUAUGAGCGUCAGAAGAACUUUGUUGAUAAGGCGUGGGCGCGUGCUGUCAACUACGGACCUUCAGUUUUUAGUUUAACGUGUUUUGUAUUUUUGGUUAUUUUUGUAAUUACGAAUUUAAUAUUUCAGAUAUUAGUAUUUUAUUUUAAAUAGAAUUCUAGAGGAGAAGAGAGAGGGAGUAUUUAAGAGAGGAAUCUAUUGUGAAAAAUGGGAUUUUUGGAUUGGAGAAAAAGGAAAGAAACCCUAGAUCUAAUUUUUCUCUUCUCUCUAUGAAGAACUAAACUUAUUUUUCUAGUUGAAGGUUAAUGAAGCUUUGAUUCAUCACUACUGUGAGAUCUUUCUUAUGCUUUAAUGGUUUUAUUACUUUUUGGGUAUUUGUUUAUUCUCUGAAUUAGUUUCAUGAUUAUUUUUGUUAAUUAGGUAAUUGGCCACUAUUUAAUUAUCAACUUAAUCUAUUGUCAAUUAAAGGAUUCAUCGUAUGAAGAUUUUAAUGUUUGUGACAAAUAACAUAGCAGUGAGUUGUGUUAUGAGAAUAAACAAUCUAAUUUAAAUGAAUCAUCAAAUGUGUUGAUUAGGAUUUGGGUUUCUCUGGUUUUUCAGGCUGUCAAUUGAUUAAAUCCUAUGAUCGUAUCUAGGGUUGUCUAUUAAUUAGGGAAAUAUCCAACGGUCGUACCUUGGUUAUCGACUAGUUAAGGAGAGAUUGGCUAUUAGAGGGUCUCAAUAGCUAUAACCGGUCUAUUCAUAAGUAAUAAUAAUCUAUAUUUGAAUCAGUGGCUAUUAGGGAAAUAUCCAACGGUCGUACCUUGGUUAUCGACUAGUUAAGGAGAGAUUGGCUAUUAGAGGGUCUCAAUAGCUAUAACCGGUCUAUUCAUAAGUAAUAAUAAUCUAUAUUUGAAUCAAUUAUCAGUAGUCGAAUCAAGCUGAGUUAAUUCCUUCAACCAGAGCUUUCUCCAAUUUGAAUUACAACUUUAAUUUGCAUUCUUGUUAUUUUGAAUUUGAUUUUUAUUAUUGUCAACAAUUCCCCCAUUUUACGUUUUAUAUUUCAAAAGGAUUUAAAUAAUUACCGAUCUCUGUGGACACGACCCUGCUCAAUCACUAUACACAAUUUAUUUAGAGUAUGAAUUUAUUUUUGUUGGCUUCGACAACCAUCAAAUUUUGGCGCCGUUGCUGGGGAUUGGUGUCAUUUAUUUAAUCCUUUUUACAUUUUACUUGGUGUAUGGUUCGUUCUUCUCGUACAGGUACACUUUUGUUUGAUCCUGAAAUUGAGAAGACAACUCGCCAGCUGAGACAGCAUACGAAACAAGCUAAGCAACGAUCCUCGUCGCCUUUGCUUUCUGAAACAGAUACAGUGCCUGAUUUAGUUGAAUCAUCUAGCGAUUCAGAAGAACAAGUGACGGAUAAAGCUGCACCUGUAGAAAGAACUCUUAGAGAGUUAGCUGAACUAGACUUGAAUCAGCAACCACUCUGCAUUCAAUAUGUAGACUUGGAGGUAAAUUUUGAAUUAAAGUCUAGUCUUAUUCAUUUAUUACCCAAGUUUCAUGGUUUUGCAGGUGAAGAUCCUCAUAAACAUCUCAAGGAGUUUCAUGUUGUAUGUUCAAGUAUGAGACCACAAGGCGUGACUGAAGAGUAGAUUAAGCUGCGUGCUUUUCUUUUCUCUUUAGAUGGACUAGCUAAAGACUGGUUGUACUACUUGCUUCCUGGAUCGAUUACAACGUGGAAUGGUUUAAAGAAGCAGUUCCUCGAGAAGUACUUUCCUGCUUCAAGAGCUGCCAACAUCAGAAAAGAUAUUUGUGGGAUCAGACAACUUCCUAGGGAGACUUUGUAUGAGUAUUGGGAGCGAUUCAAACAAUUGUGUGCCAGCUGUCCUCAGCAUCAGAUUUCUGAUCAACUUCUUAUUCAAUAUUUUUACGAAGGAUUAUCAUUGAUGGAUAGGAGUAUGAUAGAUGCUGCUAGUGGAGGCGUAUUGGUGAACAGGACCCCUACUCAAGCAAGGGAGUUGAUCUCAAAUAUGGCUGCCAAUGCACAAUAAUUUGGCAGCAAGCAAGAUCUCACUUCAAGGAAGGUGAAUGAGGUAAAUAUUUCUUCUGUUGAACAACGUUUAGAUAAACUUACUUCUCUUGUGGAAAAGUUUGUUGUAGGUAACGUGCAACAGGUAAAGACUUGUGGCAUUUAUUCCAAUAUGGGUCAUUCAACUGAUAUGUGUCCUACACUUCAAGAAGAACCCGUUGAACAAGCUAAUGAUUUUCAGGCAUGCCUCAAAGGAGGUAUGAUCCUUAUGCACAAACAUAUAAUCCGGGAUGGAAGGAUCACCCCAACUUCAGCUAUGGAGUUAGGCCGUCAGGAUUCCCACAACAGUAUCCACCAAGACAACCAGCACCUCCACAGUCAAACUCCAAGUUAGGUAUAUCUCUUGAAGAAAUUGUUAAAUCACUUGCGACUAACACUCAACAAUUUCAGUAGGCAACUACAGCAAUCAUUCAGAAUUUGGAGAACCAAAUGAGUCAAUUAGUGACUACAGUGAGCCGUCUGGAGUCUCAAGUAUUAGGGAGGUUGCCUUCACAAUCUGAGGUGAAUUCAAAGCAAAACGUUAGUGCUGUCAUCCUUAGAAGUGGGAAUGAGUUGCAAGAGCAUAGUAAGAAAGUGACAAACCAUGUAGAAGAUGAGCUUGAGAAGAAUGAAUUGAUGCCUAAAUCUCAAGAUGCGCAACCCACUAGAGCGAAACCCCUACCUAUUGUGAUACCUCCUCCUUUUCCAAGCCGGUUUGCAAAAUCUAAGAAGGAGGAACAAGAGAAAGACAUCCUUGAGACAUUUCGCAAGGUUGAGGUAAAUAUUCCUUUAUUAGAUGCUAUAAAACAAAUACAUCGAUAUGCUAAAGUCCUUAAGGAACUGUGCACCUCCAAGAGAAAAUUAAGAGGAGAUGAAAAAGUUCACAUGGGGGAGAAUGUUUCAGCAGUUCUCCAAAAGAAACUACCUCCUAAGUGCAAUGAUCCAGGUAUGUUUACUAUCCCUUGUAAAAUUGGUAGUGUUAGAGUUGAAAAAGCUAUGUUAGAUCUAGGAGCUUCUAUUAAUGUCAUGCCUCGUUCUAUUUAUUCAUCUUUGAAUGUUGGUCCAUUAAAAGAAACUGGCGUGAUAAUUCAACUAGCUGAUAGGUCUAAUGCAUAUCCUGAUGGGGUAUUAGAAGAUGUUUUAGUAUAAGUUAAUGAGUUAGUUUUUCCUGCUGAUUUUUAUGUACUUGAUAUGGAAGAUGAUAACUCCUCUAAUUCUAUCCCAAUUUUGCUAGGAAGACAUUUUCUUAAGACUACUAGGACUAAAAUGGAUGUACAUAAAGGGACUCUCACUAUGGAGUUUGAUGGAGAGGUUAUAGAAUUCAAUAUGAAUGAUGCCAUGAAAUAUCCUAGUGAGAAACAUUCUGUAUUUUCUGUGGAUGUUAUUAACCCUAUAGUGCAGGAAGUUUUUUACAAGAAAAAGACGAAGACAUUUCAUGAUAUAAUGAUUUUGAGAAAUGAGUUCUCUGUUGGUCAAAAAGUUCUUCUUUUUCAUUCUAAGCUUAAACUUUUUCCGGGUAAAUUACGUUCUUGCUGGAUUGGACCUUUUAUUGUUACUAAUGUUUUUCCUCAUGGUGCAGUUGAGAUUCGGAGUCCGACCUCUAACAAAGUUUUUAAGGUUAAUGGUCAUCGCUUAAAACCUUUUUAUGAAGGUUUUUCGGUGAAUAUUGUGGAGGAUGUGGCUCUCGAGAGUCCCAAUUAUGGAGAUUGAUGCAUAAAUGUGUCUAGCCAAAGACAUAAAACAAAGGUGCUUUUUGGGAGGCAACCCAAACAAUUUAUUUAUUUUGGUUUUUGUUAUAUCUUCUUUUAAUUUUGAUUCAUAUUUUUUUUUAAUCUGUUUGCUUAUUUUGGUCAAAAGAAAAUUUUUGAUAAGGCGUGCCCACGUCUUAACUAAUAAGUACUUCUGUGAUUUUUAGUAUCUCAAAGUGAUUCAUCACUAAAAUAUAUAUAUAUAUAUUCCUUCUUUUCUUUCUUUUAUAUAUAUAUAUUUUUUAUUUCUUUAAAAAAAAAACAAAAAUCACAAAUCACUGUUCACUGUUCACAAAUCCUUAAUUAAAAAAAAAAAAACUUCACUGUUGAUUAUCGUUUUCACCUGCAGCAACCAGCAGCUGCAGCUGUUGUGCAAAUUUUAAUGAACUCGCAAGUGCACGAAUCUAUUGUAGUAUAGAUCAAUGGUGAUGAGUGUCGAUCCCACGAGGAGGUGGAUUUUAAUUGUGUGUAGAAUUAAUUUUGUAAAUGGGUGAUUGGAUUUGUGGUGGAAAUGAUUUGGAAUAUGCUAAAACUUAAAUUAAAAUGGAGAGAAUAAAUUCUAAAAUUGGAAUUAAAAUGGCGAGAAUAAAUUGAAGAGAAUUCUAUUGAAAUGACGUACUUGGGUAUCUAGAUCUGUAUCAACAUGCAUCAUGGGCUAAAUAAUCCGUAUUAAUGCCAAUUAAAUCAUGAGGGGGGAAUCCACACCUCAUGAACCACGCUCUAAUCAAUAUGGUGCUAAGGGCUUAUCGUGCCAAAUAAUAAUAACCUUGUACUAGAGAGCCGGUGUAACCAAGGCGGUAUCUAGACAAGACUAUUAUUAUUUGUCGACGAAAAGUCAAAUCAUCCACAAAAAUUAGAGGGGAAAAGAAAAUAAAUUUACCAAAUAAAGCCCAUGACACAUGUUGAGACUUCACCUUCAACCCAAGCUUGAAAGGAAAUUAGCUACUCAUAAUUGAACUAGGGGCAAAAUGGGAAUUUAUUAAAAUACAAGAUGGAGAAGGAAUUACAGAAAACAGAGUCCAAAAAUGGAUUCAGAGCUAUCAAAUUAGGGGGGGGAAGCCCCCUUUUUAUAGAUACAUGGAGUAAAUCAUGGCCGUCGGAUUAAAAAUAGUUUGGACGCUCAGGAUUGCGCCAUGUCAUUAGUCAACAGUACGCGGUUUGACCUCGUGGAUGAACAGUAACACGGUUUGACCUGGGUGAACAGUGACGCGGUUUGACCCGGGUGAACAGUGACGCGGUUUGGUUGAAAAUAAUCCUGUGUGAUGCAUGUACCGUACGCGAGAUUUUUCGUCCACUGAUAUGCUGCCACGUCACCAUCAACAGUACAUAAGAAUUUUAGCCCAACAGGAUCGUGACACCUCAUCAGUCAAUGCCACAUCAUCAGUCAAUGCCACGUCAUCGAUCCGUCUAUGUCAACAGUGUCAUGAACAGUAACGUAGACAGUACCGUACAUGUGAAUAGUACCAUUUUUCCUUUUAUGCUCCUCCUAAGGUUUUCGACGAUCCUGAGUUCAAAAGUGAUGUCCGUUUUACCGUCUGAUCUCUCGUUCAUUGUGAAAUGACCAUGAUACCCCUAAAAUACAUAAAAUACUUAAUUAAAAUCAAACACACAUAAUUAAAUUGCAAGAAGCUUAACUACAUAAAAGUAAGGGUUGUUAGUAAAACUUGAAAUGUAAAAUGAUGAUUUUCUCCCUUAUAAAUAUACAUUUUCUAACAGUCAACAGUAGCCACGCAGCAGCAGCAACCGUGCACAAUCAGCAGCAACCGUGCUCGCAACACAGCCACGUAGCAGCAGCGGCCGCGCGCAACGCAGCGCAGCACCAGCAUCUCGCGACCAGCGAGCAGCAACCUGCGUGCGCAGAUCCAGCCUUCGCCCAGCAACGCGCAGAACCAGCGUCAGCCCAGCUCUCGCGCGCAACAAUCAGCACCAACCCGCGCAGCAAGCUCCAGUCGAGCAGCAACGCAGCGCCGAUCUAGCCUACGCCCUGUAUUCCAGCUGGGUAAAUCGAAAUCCGUGAGUGCAAUUAUUGUAACAAUGCCGAAGAGGAAAGCAUCUACUUCCAAGUCAUCUAAAAAGACACCCGUUGCACAGAAAUCCAAGAUUGCCGCUCCCACUACGGUUCCAUGGAACACAAUUUCAUAUUCACACCAAGCCGUGAGACAAAGAUCGAAACAUGGAAAAGGUAUGAGUGUUUUGCCACUUGCGGACUCCAAUCUCGAAGGGUGCCUCGCAUUCGCGACUUAACAAGAGAAAGAGAGGACCCACUUAACCUCCGAAGAAGCUUUAUGCUAGGAGUGGUGCUACCUCUGAUGACGAGUUUGACGACGACACUGCUGCCCCGCCAACUAUUCCUUCUACAUCCGCACCACCUUUGAGCAUUCAGUUAGAGAAAAUUGAGCACAAGCUGAACAAGAUGGAGCAGAAUUUGGCCGCAUACUUCGAGAGUGUGGGAUUUACCCCACCAUUUUCGCCAAGCCCAUAGACGUUAUGUAGAUCAAAGCUCACAAUUCAGGGAUGUUUUUUUUGUCUUUAAUCUUUUAUCCUUACGCUUUAAUUUUUAUGUGAGCUUUGAUUAUCUUACAUUGGGGACAAUGUAAGUUCUUGGUGUGGGGGAGGGAUUUUUGCAUUAUUGAUGUCUGGAAUUAUUAUUUUCACUCUACUCAUCCUUAAAUGAUUUUGGAGUUAGUAUGCUUCAUAUAUUAUUAUUUUUCUUUUCUUUUCUUUUUCACUACUCUUUUCCCAUCUAUCUCAAAUUAUUUACAUCUAUUUUUAUUCUAUCAUACUCUUUCAUCACUCACAUUUUAUCUUUCACUUUUUAUAUUACUACAUAUAUCUUUCUCACUUCUUAUCAUUUUUACAUUUUCUUCACUCAUACCUUCUUCUCAUUCUACACCACUAUGAUGGUUGAUUCAUUUGAAGAGUGUACAUGAUUUGAUGGCAAAUUUACCAACUUUGUGACGAUUUGAGCCUAUGAGCAAUCACUUUGCUCUAAUUAUUUUUGUUAUGUGAAUAUCAAUCUUAGUUUGUUUAUUCUAGAACUUGCUUUGUUAUGCAUGUUGAAGUCACAUUACGGGAUGUUUUGCAUUAAAAUGAUAAGGGCAAACCAUUUACCAUUUUUCUAUUCUCGCAUUUUCUUUUUUUUUCUCUACCCGAAGACCUUGAUUUAGUAUCUUUGUUUGAGCCUUAACCAUUACCCAUCUAAUUCUCUCCGUCUACUUAACCAUUUUUCUUCUUUUUGAGCCUCAAUUUAAGGAGAUUUUUGGACUCAUUGUGUGGAUAUAUUUUGUAUAUAUUUUGUUGCUUUUUCUACCUUGUAUUAAAGUUUCUCAAUUAUAUCAACAAGCAUUAUGCUUGAAUUAAAUUGUGCAAGGUUCGUUUCUUUUGUUUGAUUCAAAAAAAAAAGAAAGAAAAAGAAAAGGAAAAAGAAAAAGAAAAAAAAAGAAAUAGAAAAAAUCGAAAAAAAAAUGUUUACAUUCUUGGUAACUUGAGUAGAAAUAAGCGUUUCGAUAUCAUAAAGUUCAUUCAAUGAGUUCAUUCUUCUCAUUUUGAUCUCUUUUCUUUCAUAAACCUUUCUUUUUCAUUUAACCUAUUUAACCCCGUUACAACCUUUUAAGACCCUUAGAUUUUUGCAUUUAAUUCAUGUUUUGUGGAUUGAGAUGUUAUAUAUAAGCAAGCUUAUGGUAAUAGCAUUCUUUGAUUUGAUUUGAGUGAAUAAAUGACACCCUAAACACUUUGAGUGCAUGGAGUGAAGUCAAUGAGAGGGCUAUUAAAUCUUGUUGCACUUGAAUUUUGAAUGAAUCUUCUUGGUGGUUGAAUGUUCUUAUUCUAUCUUUUGAGAUUCUAUGCUUUAAAAUCCUUGUCUCUCGAAUGUUGAUCGACUUAAUUUCUUGAGGUAUACUUGCUUAAAAUUAUUUUUGGAUGAGUUGAGAUGAGAAUUGAGUGGAGAUUUGGGAUUAAUCUUGAGUUAUAUGCUUGAGGACAAGCAUCAUCUUGGUGUGGGGGAAUUUGUUAGAGUGCAAUUUAUGCACUAGUUUUACAUUGUUUACUUCCCUUAAGAUCGAUGUUUUGCACUUAAUAAUAAUGAUUUACUUGUGUUUUACUUUUGUAGGUGCAAUUCUAUUUAUUUGUGAUAAAAUUGAGCUAUAAGAUGAUGUUUAAAGAUGAUUGUUCUCUUGGAGAAAUUAUGAGCGUCAGAAGAACUUUGUUGAUAAGGCGUGGGCGCAUGCUGUCAACUACGGACCUGCAGUUUUUAGUUUAACGUGUUUUGUAUUUUUGGUUAUUUUUGUAAUUACAAAUUUAAUAUUUCAGAUAUUAGUAUUUUAUUUU
This 56681-nucleotide long non-coding RNA is filed under the name Citrus x clementina. RNAcentral describes it as "Citrus clementina (C. clementina) long non-coding RNA (CCLE_LNC002326)". Lineage: Eukaryota; Viridiplantae; Streptophyta; Magnoliopsida; Sapindales; Rutaceae. The record is from RNAcentral.